RNAcentral lists this long non-coding RNA (65903 nucleotides) under Ananas comosus (pineapple). Lineage: Eukaryota; Viridiplantae; Streptophyta; Magnoliopsida; Poales; Bromeliaceae. The record is from RNAcentral.
ACCAAGCACACCAAGAAUCAUCAGACAAAUAUAAGCUCUCACCACAGUAGAAAGUAUGAACUUUUGACUUAUUGAGCUAGCUGUUUGAUAUAAAGAAACAGAUCAAAGCAUGAACUUUUGACUUAUUGAGCUAGCUGUUUGAUAUACAGAAAGAGAUCAAAGUAUGAACUUUUGACUUAUCGAGCUAGCUGUUUGUUAUAAAGAAACAGAUCAAAGUAUUUAUACUCUACUUAGUGAGAGGAAUUCGCAUAUGAACAGUCUCAUAUCAGAUAAUUAAUAAGAGAGUAUAAGGUAGAUAUAAUAAUGGGCCUGGACUUAAUAGGCUUAAGCUUUUGGACUAGACGGUUCCAUGAGAUAUGUCAGAUCCUUGGACACAUGCGGACUAGGUUGAACUGAAACUCCCCAACAAGAAGAACAUAAAAACUAAAUCUCUGGCUGUUGCAAAACUAGGCAAUCGAGUAUGAUUGACAGAAUAAAAUUGUAAAAUUGAUUAGGGGAUAUAUAUAUAUAUAUUAUGAUAAAUUGUUCCUUGCACAUUGGAAAUUGAAAGAUUUUGGUUAUUGAAAGUCCCAAUUUCAUUUUCAGCAUUGUUCAGAGAAAUUGGUCCUAUUUGCUAUUUUGCUGCAAGGAUAGUACUAUAAAACCAUGGUCCGUUUAUUGAUUGAUCCUCAAGGUUAGCCUCUUGAUCUAUUAACAUAUGCUGGACUGCUAAUUCAUUUCUAGCAUCUCCAAGAUUGUUGUCUUAAAGCAGGUUCUAGAAACAAACUUUUGAGGUUAAUAUUUAGUUUGUUAGUGAGAUUCAGAACAAAGUACUAAUAAGCUAGCUAUUGCAGUCAGUUAUAUAUAAAGUGGGAAUUAGCAAACUAGAUAUUGAUUUCAAGAGCAAAUCCAGGUCCUCUGGCCCAUGAAAUCCCACUAAUGCUAAAUGCUGGCUAAAAAAUUGCACAAUACUAUGAAUCAAGUGGCACAUAUCAAAAAGAAAACGAAAAGGAAAUCAGCUGUUACUAAGUCAUUUGUCCGAAGGUCCAGAUACAAUUUAGGUAGUGCUCCUCAAAGUCAAAAAGUUCCAACCUUCGUUUACUAAAUUGUAUUUUAAAUAAUGAACCCAACCAUUGACUUUGUCCUAGUAAAAUCCUACAAGGUCUGGAUUCCAAAUCUAUCACAUGUACAAGAUGAAAAUAUGGAGCUGACACUUUGCCAAGUAAAAUAUCAAGGCAUACCACAUACUACAAUAAAGAAUCUUCUAUACCUAUUACCCUAACAUGUCGGUAAAGGAAAUGACCAACAAAGUAAAAACAGAUGCAUAUGUCCUCAUACAUGAACAGAUUGAGCUAAUACAGUUCAAAUUAGUAUAGUAUAGGUCCUCAUUCAAAUUCCUUCAGGUAAAAGAAACAUCACGAUAGCGUUAUUUUAUGUCCAACAUGGAUGAAGUUUAGACUUCAAGAUUCACAGUUGGCUAUGUUCGACUGAAGCCAGGUUGGAAAGGGAUAGCAUAAAUCACAAUGUGGCAUCAGCACUACAGUUUUCCCUUUGUUAAGUUGGCAGUUAGGUUAGUUCACAUCUGAAUUAAGCAAGGUCAGAUAAGUGCAUACACAACCUAGCUUGAAUCCUAAGACAAGGUCUAUAAAUCCUAGGCAAGUAGCCCUCAUUCCUUGUUCUUGAAAUCUAUCCCUCUUUGAUCUCACCCAAACCACGUUCAACUGGUGUAGCCUUAUAUAUAAAUACAUGCUAUCAGGGAAGGAUGUCUCCAAUAAUAGUGGAUAGGACCUGGAAAAGAAUGAGGAAAAUCAACUUCUAGAACAUGUUGCACCUAGGAAUACCACUCACUUAAAUUUCAACACUUGCUGUGUUAGAUAUGUCUCGAAUUCUAGUACCGCAAGGUUUCUAAUCAUAUUCUGUUUUGAUUAUCCCAUUAAGUUAAGUUUGGAUUAUGCCUAAUUUUAUUGAGAUAUUCCUAAUCUUAGUGGAUUUGUAUUUCUCGUUGUAUUAGGAUUUAGCCACUAUUAUAAAUAUACCCUUUAUUUCAUUGGUUUAGAGCGGAAGAUGAGAGAGAGAAUAUGGAUGUAUUUUUGGAAUUAGGGUUUUGUGAGAGAGGCAUAUUUUGUACACCACUUUGAUUAUAAUGAAGAUCCGCUCCGUCUUUGCCCGUGGAUGUAGGUUGAUAGCCGAACCACGUAAAUAUUGUGUGCUUUAUUUUUUUUCUCUCGUUCUCGAUUCUCUUUUGGUAUUUUCGCACCCGACGAACUAGAUCUUUUCAGUUUUAGUUCUAACAUGCUGUGGACUAGAUCAUCUCUCUUCUCUUCGGAGAGGUAACUUCAUAUCACAAUCACAACAUUCAGAGAGCACGCGUCAUGGAUGCAUGCCAUCUCGGAUGCUUAGACGAAAUAAUCUAAGCAUCUGCAUAUCUGCCGUCGAACAGCAGAUAAGUUCCAGUGAUUGUUUCUAGAGUUGCAGAUACCCUUCUCUGCCAAGACCUUAUCAAAGUAACAAAAGCUAUUCAUACAGUUACAUCUUGCCUUAACAUCUCUUUCAGUGAGAGUCGGAUAGUAGUCUUCAAGCCGUUAAAGCCAAAUCCUGAAGGAAUGAUUAAUUUCUAUCAUCUGACGAACAAGCAACACAGAAGACUUUUCUUCUAACACUCUCGAUUGCUUAGGAGUAUAACAGAGCAAUAAAAUUCUGUUUCAUGGAACAAACUUGGGCACAGUAGAGGAGCUACCCUUAGUAGAGCCAGUAGGCAAAAGGAGUGCCCUAACAAUUGACAAAUUAAUCCAUGGAUUAAGAAAUUGAGUAUGAGAUUGGCGUGGGGAACUAACCACUCAAAAUUCCUCAUUAUGGUGUUAAAAGUUGAAUAGGCAAAGUGCUCUGUGAAAAUUUCUAAAUUCGAUGAACCUUUUGAUAAAAGCAGCAGAGAAGUCAAAAGAAAACUGGUUAUAAAACUAAAGCUAUCAAUUUUUUUUUCUCGAGCUGAUGCAUGACGAGAAUGGAUUGGCGCAUAUGGUUUUGAUUUCAAGAAUACCACUGUUAGCUAAGUAACUGAAAAAAAAAAAAAAAAAGUUCAUCUUGAAAGAGAAAGAAUGAAAAAUUUUGAAAUGGGCAAAGCAACAUUAUUAAAAAAUUUCAAAACUGUUAAACAAAGUCACCACCUUGACCAUCUAAUGAACAAUACAAUACAUACUAUGAACAAGAGAGCUCCCGUUAUUCAGUAAAAUACGGAAUGGAAUAAUUGUAAACAAGCAUCCGCAAUCUAAUACGAGUUGAAUUAAUGUAAUCAUCGUGCAAAAGGGUUGUGAGGUGCAAUUACCAUCAGUCUCCGGAAAUUCGAUUGGGGUGCCGAAUGAUCCGCUGCAGGACGACGGUUCGCGCCUUUCGGAUCUCCCUGCUGCAGCGAUCGGCCUGCUCCCCCAAGUCCUCAAUGCUCUGCAUGAACUCGUCCAUCUUCCUCUGGAUCUCCUCGAUCCCGAGCCGCACGGCCUCCUCGUCCCGCAGCGCGAACUCCGCGCUGCCCAGCAAGGAGGUGAUCUGGACCUCCACGCGGGCGACGAGGACCCUGAUGCUGUCCAGGUCCUUGAUGGCGAUGUAGGUGCCGACCUGCAUCGAGCGCAGCACGUCCUUCUGGCCGCGCAGCAGGUCCUGGUAGUUCUUGAACAGGGAGUCGAUCCAGCGGCCCAUCGAGCCGACGGGGAUGGCGGCGGCGGCGGCGAGGGCGGCGGCGACGGGGGGGGCGGCGAUGGCGGCGGCGACGACGGAGCAGAUGAGGACGGCGGCGAAGGUGGCGGCGAAGAUGAUGCUGGAGACCCGGCGCCAGGUCCGGAUGGUGCGGAUCCUCUUGUUGAGCCUGCGCUUGUGCUGCUGGAGCCUGUCGAGCAUGGAGAGCUGCUGGACGUAGACGGAGUGGAAGGCGGCGAAGAACUCCUCGGUGAAGGGGUCGCCGGCGGCCGUGAAUCGCCUCAGCUCCUCCAGCGUGCCGGCGUACCUGCUCCUGCCGGCUUCGGGGUCGGCAUCGGCAUCGGCAUCGGCAUCGGCAUCGGGGUUUUGGUGGUGUUCUUGGGCGAAGCGCUGGAGGGCGACGUGGACGAGGAGGUGGGAGUCGCGGGCGCGGUGGAGGGAGUGCUCGAGGGCGGAGCAGAAGUCGAGGGUGCGGAGGCUGCAGUCGAAGUAGUCCUCGACGAGGGCGAACAGGUCGGGGCUGCGCCAGAUGUCCUCCUUGCAGUCGAGGAUGACGCGGACCACCUCCUGGUUCAUGUCCAGCAGGCACCCCGUCACCUCGCGCAGCGACCCCAGCGACAGCGCCCGCACCUCCACCCCCGACGCCAGCGCCGUGAUCGCCUCGCUCGUCCGCCGGUGCAGCGCCGCGUCGAACGACCGCAGCUCCGGGUCCACGCGGCACGCUGCCUCGUACGAGCUCAGCUCCGACGAGUACUCCAUCCCCCCUCCUGCGCCCGUCGCCGCCGCCGCCGCCGCCGCCGCCGCGCCGGAGUCGCCGGCCCUCUUGGAGAAGUGCGCGCCCAUGAAAGGUGAUUUAAUUGAUUACUGAGGAAUGAAAUGAUUGCGCGCGAAACGAAUUGUAGAAAAAAGAAAAAAGGAAUGUGGGACGACGUGUUUAAUAAAAGAGAGAGGUGGGGGAAGAGUGUGGGAAAUAGAUAUAGCCUGUACGCAUUAUAAACGAGGAGAGAUAGAGAGGAAGGGGGAAGAGGUGGGCAAUGGUGUUCACUAGAAGCAACCUCUCUCUCUCUCUCUUUUUUUACUCUCUCUCUCUCUUUUACUUUCUCUCUCUUAUUAGUUUCUCUCUCUCUCUCUCUCUCUCUCUAUCUAUAUCUCUGCGGCGUUGUAGUUUGUAUGCGGGAAGCAACGCGAAGAGUAGUUGGCGAAGGCAACAGAGGAGAGAGAGAGAGAGAGGAAAAAGCAAGUAGAGAGAGAAAAGAAUGAGAUUGAAGGAGAAACACCGAGGAAGGUGGGUAGAGAAAAGAAACUAUUGCCUGCACCUGGUGUAUAAGUCCAUCUCAUACACCGAAUUCCCUACCAUCAAACUUCUAAUUUAUUUGAUGUGUUUUUCGGUAUUUAGAAAUAUCUACGUUAUAAAAAAUUAUAAUAUCUAAAUAUAUUUGUCAUAAUUUAAAUAAUAAUACUUACAUUAAAUUAGGUGUACGCCGAUUGCAGCUGCAUUUGGUGUAGGCAAAAAUAUCAAGAGAGGUGGGAGGGAAGUAGAUGGGUGGGGAUGCGACGUCAGCAAAAGGGAAACGGUUUUAUAGUGCGCGAAAUGACGAAAAUGCCCUUGUCUUUCCUUUUACGUCUUGUCUUUUUCUCCUGAUUAAGCUGGGCUGGUGUUCGGGUUGGUCUUGCGGAGGCUGACUUUGGUUUCUGCAGAAGGGGUCUGCUAAGGGUACCCAAAAGUGUACCCCAAAAAUUACCCUCAACUUUGAAUUUUCUACCACUGUUAGAUCUCAUUUGUGGAAAAUUUAAAAACUCUCAAAUUUGAAUUUUCUACUGCUGUUAGAUCUCAUUUGUGGAAAAUUUAGAACCUCUUUUUGUGGCCCUCAAAUUUGGGUAACUCGAAUUAAUUUUAGUUUCAAAUUUCUCAACAAUUACUAUCAUAUUUCAAUGAUUAUUAUUAAAGAUAACUCUUCAAAAAAUUAUGAAGGGCUCCACACGUUAAAAAAAAGUGUCGAUGUUAACAACUCACAAGCAACCUCAAACUAGUUUUACUAUAAUUCAAUACUGUAUAUACUCAAUAGUUUAUUUUCUAGUACUAGCUUGUCGUAUUGGCAUAGUUUUUGUACACUAUAUAUUUAUCGCUUCUUGAUUUUAUCUUUUAUUUUACUUUUUAUUGUCCAUUAAUUAAGUUUCGUAAUUUUUUUCUUUGCUGAUAAAUUUGGCAAUUGAAGUAAGAUAUGAGAUUGAUUAAUAGCCAAUAGAUGGUUUGCGAAUGCACGAGUGCAUCCAAUGCAAAUAAAGUUAUUUUCUAACAGAGGUCAUGAACAAUCUGAAGUAAAGUAUUUUUCUUUUAAAUGUCAUAUUCAUAUUUGAUUAAUUAUCAAUUUUAAUGAACAGUAAUAUUUUUUUUUUUCCUCUACAGAAUUCUAAAGGAUUCCGCGUCAAGCAUAUUCAUUCCUUUGAAAGUUAAAAGCAGGGAUCAAACUAUCAAUCUCUAGCAUAUGAUUAGAACUUCGUAUUGACUCUGAUGUCUUAUUGUACAAAAUAUUAAUCUCAUAAAAAAUUAUUGAAAACAACUCAAGACAAAUUGUCAAAAAUAAUUCUACUCAAACAAUCGGGUGCAUUUUGGAGUGCAUCAAGCGUAUUCCCUCCAGAGGAGGUCGCUUGUGGGAGAUAUUGUUAUUUUGGAUAAUCCUGCCACGUGCUGCUAAAUAAACCACGUGAGUAUGAAAUUAAUUAAGUGUUUAAACUUUAAGUGAGGAUUUAAAAUAUAGCAAUAUUGAUUCAUCAAUAAUAAUAUUAUAAUGAUCUAUACUCUUGCGAAAUUGGGGGUUUAAUUUCUACAAUGCCUCUAAAAUUAGGCUUAAAUCUGUGUCAUGGCCCUUAAAAUUAGGUUUAAAUUCUUGCCAUCUUAAAUUAUAUGAUAAUAUAAAAUUUAGGAAAAACUUCAAAUAUCACCUCUGUGGUUUCCCACUUUCUCACUUUAAUACCAUGUGGUGUAAAAUGUAUCAUUUCCAUAUUCUGUGAUUUUAUUUUUAUUUUUUUUUAUUAUUUACUUCAUUAAUUUUUUUUAUUAAAUCAAUGACAAAGUUAAAAUUAAAAGAUACUAAAAUAAAUAUUGUGAUAAACUAUACAUAGGGUAUCUGAAAUUUUUUUGUACAUGAUUUAACGAAAAGUUAACAGAGGGACUGACGAAAAAAGAAAAAUAAAAUCACAAGAUACUAGAUUGAUAUACUUUAUACCACAUUAUACUAAAGUGAGAAAGUAUAAAAUUACAUGAAUGAUAUUUAAUAUUUACUCUAAAAUUUAUAAGAGAUCUUUAAAAUUUGUAAGUUUACAAGCAAUGUGAAAGCUUUUUUUUUUUUUUUUUUAAAAAAGAGUUACAUCAAACGGUUCUUUACUAGGUAGGGGGUAACAAAAGAAUAGCAUAAGACUAUGUCAAAUUUAUUAGGCGACAACUACAGAGUGAAAAUGAUGCGAAAAUAAUUUUAUUACUAAUUGCGUUAGUGGCACAUGAUAACUAAAUAUAUAUUAUUAAUUGUUUUAGUCCUAUUUGAUAUAUUACCAAUUGCGAUAUGACAAAUUAAGCUUAAUCGGCUUGUUAACUUUACAUAUAGUUAAACUUGUGAGAUGUUGCCAUCGCAUGCAAUUAAAUAAUCCCAUGGUUUAAGUAAUUUGCGACAUUUUUAAAGCUAGGGUCAAACCGGCCCGUUCGAUUUUGACCAUAAUGUGAUUCGGUUUAACUGUUCAAACCGGAUUAGUCAAAAAUCUAGUUUGAGUUAUUCAAAUACACAGUACAACUAAUAAACUAGUAAAUCAAUUUGAUUAUGAGCAAAUUGGUGAGUGUUUUUAUCAAGUCAGAUCACAGAUCUAACAACUUAAAAUUGGGUUAACAUUUUGAGAAUUUUAUUUGCAAUUGAUUUUGCUGAUUUUAUAUUCAAUUAUCAAGUAUCAAUUUUGUAAAAAAUAACUAAAUAUCUAUAAUAUCAUGCUGGAGUUACUGAUUCAACUAAUAAUAAUAAUAAUCAUCAUUAUUAUAAUUUUUUGAUCCAGUAAUAUUUUCUGAUCGCUAAAUCUGAUCGCUAUCGUUUUGAAUUUUAAAAUAUUAUUAAUUGCGUGAAGACCUAAUCAUUUAACUAUAUGCGUUUGGUUCGCAUUAUAAAAGAUUACUAUGAAUAAAAGAUAUCCGAGAAUCUUUUCAUAUUCAUCCUAUUACUAAGAAUAUGGAAUUCCUGUGUUUGUUCGCAUGGUAAUAUUAAUUAGCCAUGUUAUUUAAUAUUACAAAAAAUAUACAAUUUAUUUAUUUAUUUAUUUAUUUAAUUUUAGGUAAUGUUACCAAAAGUUUCAACAUCUUUUUAGAAAAAAUGGAGAGAAAGUAAGAAAAAUAAUAUCAAUUAGCCGGCAAGUAGGAAGAAAGAAAAAGAUUAGACAUAUUAUGAUUAUCUCAAUUCAUUAAUUUGAGGAUACCCACCCUCUUUCAAGGAAAUGAGAUUAGUACUUUGGGGUGAAUCUUAUUUCCAAAUGAAUUUAAUAUUACCAACUAGAUUACUUAGUGCAUUUAGCCAAACACCGUCAUAUUUUUUUAUUCUAAUUGAAUUACUAGAAAUCUAUUUUUUAUUUUUAUUGAAUUAUUAAAAAUUUUUAAAAAAUAGCACGAACCAAACGCCUAAGCGCAAUGUUGGUGGUACUAGGGACUAGGGAGAGAAUAUUAGGUAAAGGUGGGCCCUGGACUCAUCAUUGGUCAAUGAAACCGCGUAUAUUGUUUUAUCAAAUCAAUGCUCAAUCCAACAAAUGUACAAAAAGUAUCACUUCGUAUACGGUAUACACAUCUCACCAAAAGAACAAAAUAAAAAAUAAAAAACUAAUUAAAAAACAAAAGAGAUUCCUAAGGCCAAAGGGGGGAUUCUUAACUUUACAAGAAAGAGUCUUAAGAUUUUAUUUGGUUGGGAUAUAAAUUUAAAUUUUUUAUUCUAGAUAUAGAUAUAAAUUCAGCUAUAAGUCUGAAAUAGAUCAAUUUUGCGUUUGGAUAAAUAUUGAGUUAUUUACGGGAAUAAGAAAAAUAACGUUUUGAUAGAUGAAAUAAAAUAAGAAGAAUAGUAGGUAGUUAUAAAUAAAAAAUAAUAAUAUUGUCUCUUAUAUUAUAUUUGAAUAUAAAUUUUUAAAAUUUAUAUUACAAAUUUUAAAUUUAAAUAUAUAACUUUUAAAAUUGAAAAAUUUAAAAUUUAAAAUUUAAUUUUUAAAUCUCAAAUUAAAAAAUUUAAAUUCUAAAUUUUAAAUUUAAGAUCAAAUCUAAAUUUAAAAAUAUAAAAUAUCAAAUUUUAAAUUUAAAAAUUAAAAAUAACAAUUUUAAAUUUAAAAAUUAAAAAUAACAAUUUAAAAUUUAAAAUUAUAAAUAUUAUUUUUAAAAUUACAAAUUAUAAAUUUUUAAAUUUUAAAUUUUAAAAUUCAAAUUUAAAUUUAAAAAAUAAAAUAGGGGUGGGAUUAACUAAUCCCACCCCAAUUUCGGAGGGUGGGGAUUGUUAACCCCACCCGCCAUUUAAUUGUGUUUUGGGAUGGGGGAAGGGGGGUGGAAUUACGGAAUUACCCCUUAUCCCCCUUCUAUCUCAGGACGAAAUGCCCGCUUAGAAUAUAUUAAUAAAGGAGGCAAUAUUUGUGGUUACACAACUACUUAGGACGUGUUUGUUUUAUCUAAUAUCUAUUGUGAAAGUUUCUUACCUUGUUGAGCUGUAAGUGCUGAUGUUUAAAGGAGACUGGCAAAUUUGGAGAUCGGAUGCUGGAAGUGAUUGGAAGCUGCGAGCACCAAUCCCGACUUCAUGUACAACGCGGAAGCGUGACUUCGUAUCCUACUGCGGUGAAAUCGAGAUUGAGCGUACAGCUAGAAAUCAGAAACUACAUACAGCCUCUUUCAAUUUCGACAGAACAAACAUCUUAACUUGUUUAUGCGUUGAGUCGGUAUUAAUCCUUGUAUGCUUGGAAGUUUGGGUUGAAUUUGAAAGGCUUUUGCUGAGCUUACAUUGGUAUCGUCUGUCUAAAAUUUGAGUCGAAGGCUUAAAGAGAUUGCAAACUACCUUCAGAAUGGUGUGAUGCAAACGAAUUGGUGGCUCUUUCAGAACAUGAUGGUCUUGUGGUAGGGCUCCGGGGGUGUCUGGAUAGGAAGACGCGGAUUCGAUGCAUGAGAUCGAAUUGAGGUGAACGGAAUUGUGCGAUCUACAAGUAGGUUAAAACGUACUCAUUGAAAAAGAGUCAAGAGUGAUAGUUUAAUACUCCAGUGCUUGAGAAAUUAAGGAUUGAGCUUAAGGAAGAGUUAGCCAAUUCACAUGUCAAAAAAAAAAAAAUCAAAAUUCACUUAUAAGAAUAAUAAUUACGUAUGAAAUAAUAAUAGUAAAAAUAAAAAGUUGGCACAUCAUAUUAGGCCAAAAUCUUCGGGCAAAAAUUUUGUGGACACCAUGUCCAAACUUUUUUUUUUGAGGACAGUCUAGAUGCACGCCGCGUGGCACCCUAGCCACGCAGGCCAUCGUCCCCCGCUCCCGCUGCCCUGCCUCUUGGGAGAGCAGCGUGUUUUUUUCAGUGCAUCCGGUGCACCAUUUUUUACUUUGAAAUUUUAAUUUUAAUUUAAUAUAAUAGAUAAUAGAUAUAUAUUUUAUAAUAUUUAAAAAAUAUAUGCAAAAGAAUUCUAAAUUAUUUUACAUAUAUUUUUAAAAUAUCAUAAUAUAUAUUAUUAAAUUAUAAUUAAAAAACAAAAAAAAAUUUUAAAACAAAACUAGUGCACCGGAUGCACCAAAAAAAAAUCCGACUGCUCUCCCAACAGGGAGAGCAACAGGAACAAUGGGUCUGUGUGGUUUGCGUGCCACGUGGCACCCAUCCGGGAGCGGCCCCAAACAAACUUGUUUGGGGCUGGUCCCCAUAUAAUUUUUGUCCAAAAUCCUCAAGCUUUUGGGCAGGUUUAAAUAUGGUACGUUCUUGGAAUACAUUAUGUGAGCUUAGAUUGAGCUGAAAUUUUCUAAAAUAGAUAUCAAGGAUCGAAUUAAGCAAAAUAGUAUUAUAAUGUUUUCAAUUUCAAGUCCGAUUGAACUUGUCCAGCUCAAAACUAUUUUGGGCCUAGACUAGCUAGGAACAAAAGUUUGAUGGGGAUUACCGACCGUCCCUAGCGCAAGUGGCAAAAAGGCUUGAUGGUUGGUAUCCGAGACCCAAGUUCGAAUUCUAGUUGAUUCACAUUUUCAGCUAAAUUUAUUUCUAAAUGAAAUAAAUAAAGCGGGUAGCAUGCUACCUUUCUCUCUCAAAAAAGAGUUUGAUGGAGAUUAUAUAUCUAACGUUUAAAUCGUCAGAUCUAUCGUUCAUCACGUGAACAAUAUAAAUCUCGAGGCUAUGUGAACGGUAGAUAAACAAGUCUUGUGCAAAUCUCAAAACAAACUAAAUUAAGAAGUUUGAGAUUAUGUCGCCUUAAUACUUCCGGACUUAAAAAGAGUAUAAAAGAAAUUAAGAAGUAUUCAAUUUUUAUCGUCCUAAUAUUAUAAUAUUAUAGUAAAAUUUAGCUGUUACGGACAUGAUAUCUUCUUCUUUUUUUUUCCGAUUUCUCCUUUACAAUUAUCCAAAGUCCUAAGGAGAUCACUGUUGGAAGUUACGCUGGGCCUUUUAGAAGCAUCUCUACAGGUAUCGAGACUGCGGAAAAGAAUGCUGUAGAAUCAAAAGUUUUUUAGAAUUUUUAAGAGAGCAAUAAGUGUAAUUUCUUAGGAGCUUAUAGCUUUCUAUUUUGUCUUAUAGUUUUGUAACACUUAGCGUCGUUUUAUUUGAUAGCUCAAGUGGAAGACUGAUCUAUAUAGUUGUGGCCUCCACCCCCACUCUUUAGAAAAUCAAUUAUAAUAUCUCUACUCUUAAAUACAAUAUAACAUCUCUCAAACUCUCUCUCUCUCUUGUACUCAAUCUGAGGGGGAGUAGAUUCAAAUUAGCAAGUAGAGAGACAGACUGAUUCACUUUGCAAAGAAAGACAAGUACGGCACAAACUUGACAAAAGAUUUUGCUUGAGCCCGCAGCACGGCGCUUAUUUCCACCAUCAUUUUUAUCAGUUCAGACUUCCAUAAGUGAAAGACCGGGCAGUGUGAAAAGUACCCCCUACCUCGGUGAUAGUUCCUCCGUACUUUUAAUAGUGUGAUAUGUUAUUGUCAGAAUCCAUUCCAGUAAGUUGGUGGCAUAAUCUUUUUAGGCACCUGUGUCAUCCAAUGUGCAAGCGAUCAAAAUGUCCCUUUCACUCUUCACUACCGAUAUUAGCACUUGAAGUAUCUUUGAAAUGGAGCUUCGUACCUUCUUUAAAAAAUCAUUAUCAAUAUCAUUAGGCGCAUAUAAAAUGAAUGAUUGAAGUCGGACGACUUUCUAAUUAUGGAGAACCAGAAUCUUGCAUGAAAGAUCCGAACCACUAGUCUUACGCUAGAUAGUGAAUAAAUUUUUUUUUAAUUAAAAAUUCAAUUAAUUUUGCUUGUUGUAUACUUUUAAAUGAGAAAAUCUCUUUUACAAAUUGUAAAAAUUGUAAAGUUUAAGACCAUUUUGAUUUUAAGGUUGUUGUAUAAAUCAUUUUUUUAAUGAUAUAUAUCAUUGAUUUAAAAUCUCUAUCAUGAAAAAUAACUAACAAAUAUAUUCAUCUUUGUACUCAUAACAUCAUAUUAAUUGAACUCCAAUAAAUCAUCAACUCUCCUGUGUGAACAUUUUUAAAGCUGCUAUCAGUCCUCUGAAGUAUUAUCCUUGUAAUCUGUUGACGUAUUGACAUAUAUAAUACGAAGGAUUGUACUUAGUAAAUACACACAAUUCAAAAGCAGUACUUGUUUCAUGCGAUGAACCCAAGCAUUUUCCACAAUCCACACUCUUUACGACCUGCUUACUUGUUCCUAACUGUGGUAGUCGCCUGUAAGUAGGCGAGGCCACCAUACUUUGCUGAAUUUGGCUUCAGACCCACCUGCAGAUGUAAAACAGGGAGGGAAAACAAAGGGGCUGAAUACAGUGACAAGAUUCAAACACAAUAUGAAAUGACAAAAAGAAACCUAAAACUGAUGUGAAGCAAACCAGCACCUUGCUCAAAUCUGCCAAGGUGAUGUCUUAAGUACGUUCCAGAUACCGGAACCUCAGUAAGCUUGGCCAUGCUGCGACACAUUAUACUGAGAUUGUUUGAUUAUAAAUGUCAGCUGCGACGCUGUGCAAUAAGCUUCGCAGACAAGAACCAGAGGAACGAGAAGCAUUCUAUGGGCACUUUCGAACAGAGGGCAUUGUGCAGUACAUUCAUCAACAACAGAAUAAUGCUCAGAUUGGAUACGAUUCCUUCUGUGAUAAGAAACUACCAUUCUUUCUCAGAUAUGAAACUAUCAGCCAAUUUAUUUCCAUAUGAUCAUUAAAAUAAGAAAAUAAUGUGGUAAAUCUUACCUAAGCAAUAACAACGAGAGGGUUAGUGAUAAAUCAAAAGAUGGUAUAUUCACAGAAACUCGCACAUAGUCAUGCACAAUAUACUAUAGUUGAAAUCUCCUCAAUCCAGCCUGCAUUCAGAUCACAUGAAAUCCAUACCGACUUUGAAAUAACUAAACGGGGUCUAAGUUAGAUAUUAGAAAGAAAGGUUACAAUAUUUAGUUCAUCAAGGAUGGAAAAACACUUGCAGGGGAUUACAGGAAAAUUUGCUCUACAAAUGAUCACACAAUUUAAACUUAUUACUACAUAUAUUUACACUCUGUAAGACAUUAAUGAGAGCAAAAGAGAAUGUAGAUCUUUACUGCUAGCGGAGAUCUACUGCUAGCGGAUAAUGUCUCAAUCGUGAACUUUAAACUGCUCUCCCAACAAGUUAGCAUAUAUAUAUAUAUACAAAUGCAUAUAAUUAAGUCGAAGACUAACUCAAAGCUGCAAUCUUUUUUUUCUUUUUUUUUUUCCUUUUUUUUGAGAUUUUUCACCAUCUGUUCAACCCCAUCUAGGCAAUGAUAGUGUUACUGCAUAUAACUCCCCUUUUACUCCACCGAACAUAAAAGCUUGGUUCAUGUUCCUAAGAAUAGUUGGAGAAAACAAUGCCGUCCACGACCCAUAAAAGGAUUCUACUUGCUCCUAUUUUACAUUGAUAAGAAUGAUUGACGAAGCCGGAUUUCGGCCUAGAAAGGCACAAAGCAGCAGUACUUCUUCCCAAGCUUUGCAACCCGACCAAAAGAGCUGCCUCCAGGCCCCGGGGGAGACCUAUUACCCUGUGAGCCUUCAGGAGGAGUUCGGUUCACAUUGCUAUUGUGAGACUUGGUUGAUGAAGAAGCUUGACUAGUGGUUGGGGAACUAGCAUCUGAUGAGUUGCCAUGCACGCUAGCUGUAACCACAACAUUGCUGUUUUGGCUUUGGAUCGAGCCUGUAGCAGAGGUCAGUGUAGAAAUCAGGCAAUGUCAACAAAAUGGAUCAAAAUAAAAGGCCAAAGCCCACAAUCCAGCAUACAAAGAAAAGGAAAAGAGAAUCUAUAUGGCUCUUGAAAACAAUUGAGAAUCUAUAUGGCUCUUGAAAACAAUUGAAAAGGAAAAGAGACGGGACCAAGAUGAAUUACUCUUUUAAUCAAGGAAUAGAAGCAGAGGAAUAAGAUGGCUAUGUUCAUAUAAACAAGAAAGGCAAGAGAGAAAAGUAUAAUCUCUCUAGACUUUUCUAGAGAGAGGAGAUCUGUGAAAUCUGUCCAUUUCCUUCAGAAGCAAAUAAAAGUUGAGAGAUGUAGUUCUUUGUCAUCAAGAAAAAUAGAGAACAAAUGCAGCAUGUUAGUGGUUGUUGUCGACUAAAACUAGUGGGCCUCCUAUUAGAAUAAAUAAUAUACUUUAAGAAAUAAAAAGCCUUUUCCAGCAGGGUGACUUUUGACUAAGAUGGAAAAUUGGAUAAUCUAUCAUGUGGUAUGAACCAAAAAAAAAAGGAAGCAAUAUGCAUGGAUAGAACAACAAAAACCUCAAUGACAAGGAUAAGAUGCUGCAAAGAAUAAGAUUUCUAGUUCUGCUAGAUCUAAACAAGGAAGUCAAUAAAGAUUUAUCCUUUUUAUUAUUUAUUUAUUUUUUUGGAAAAAAAUUGAAGAGGUAGAACACCUCAACCUACUUCAUUCAUUAUAAAGGAAGUCGAGAAGCAAGAAGAUUGGGAUGCUUUGUGGCAAUGAAAUAAGCUACUAGAAAACAAAACCAGAAUACUUCACCUACAUUAUGUAAGUUAUUUGUCAUAUUCUGAAAUUUUAAUUGAGCAGACAUGUGUGCCAACUAAGUGCACAAGUGAAAUUAUGGCGGGAGUUCUUCAGUAAAGAAAGAGUAGAAGGCAAAAAAUAAAAUAAAAUGAAAGAAUUGCAACUCUUAAGGACAAAGUAAGAUUUAAGUAACCUUUCAGAGAAUUGAAAUAAUAAACAAGCAGGGCAACACCUUACUCAGGAUACAACCAAUGCAACUAUUCAAAUGAAGUGGAAACAGUACAUGUAAAUAAUGUAAAAAUAGAUCUAGCACAGACGAUUAGAAUUGGCAUCUAAAUAAACCAUGGGGCAGCCAUACCUGGCUGUGGCGGCCUGAUAACCACCUGAUUUGAUCUUACUAAUGUAGAUCUGCUAAACCUGUAAUCUGUACGCUCUUCCUGCAAGCUUUGACUAUUACAUCCAUUCACGAGAUCCCUCAGUAGUGCAUCAGCAUCGAAGAGCUCAUCAAACUUAUUAGACCUGUUACUCGAAUUGCCCGAACUGCUCGAAGAUGAGUCUGGACUUAAUAGAUCAUUUAUUUCCAAGUAGUCGCCAUUAGAGAUGUCGAACAUGGCAUUAAAUUCCUCAGCAGAGUGAUCACUUCUUGGCUCAUUCAAUAGACUGCCUGCAUUAGUCACGCUCGGCUCAUCCCCAGCUACAAUCUGGAAAAUUUUGUAAAAAACCCAAUGCGGGAAUCUAAAAGUUAUGUCAUUCCAUCAAUAACAAUUGGAGGGAACAUUAAGUCUUACAGUUUCUACUAAAUGGGAAAAAUUCAUAUAAUCUCAGAAUUUCUAGACUUCGGUGAAAACAAUCAAAAGAUUGAGACUCAACAGGAAAAAAAGGCAGGAAAAAAAAGAUAAAAUAUUACAUAUUUGGACAAACCUGGGAUUUGUUUAGAGGCCCCUGUGAAGAGAAAUUACUUUCUUGUCCUGGAAGAGAUAGCAGAUAUCGUCCUAAGCUAUCACAAUCAGCAUCACCACUGAGAGAUUUAUUCUGCCCAUCAUUAUUUGGCCAUUGAUCAAUUUGCCGGAAGACUCGACACAAAGAACUGUAGUCCUGUAAAUAAUGCCAAUGCAUUAAAAAUCAAAAUACUAGGAGCCAAAAGGUCAAGAUAAAUAAGCAGAAAACUACUUAAAAGAGUAGCAAGGUACCUGCACUGCAGCAAGACCUUGAGGCUUCUGAUCUGCUUGGUAUUCAUGCAUUAACCACCCAGUUCUUUUUCCAGAAGGUACUUGACCUUCAUAAAAUUCUAGAGUGGUUUUCGUCCCUACAGUCUGAGCGCUCGUCGGUAUUCUAUGAGCAUCCAUGGACUUCCAAUAUCCAGUUCUUGUCACCUUAAUAUUGUUUUCCUGAUUCUCUGUAUUAGGAGACUGUUGGUCUUCCAAUUUGUACAAGUACCAGACAUUUUCUGCAAGAGAGGCUUCGCUCAUUAGCUGUUUUUCCACCUACCUAUUAUCUGAAAGUGUACAGCAGAAGGAUUCAAGGAACUAGUUAAGUAUUGCAAUGAGGUUACUGUUCUGAUGUGAAGUUAGUGAGUUCUGAUUUUUUUACAUGCAACUAGGAUAAUACUAUUAUAAGCAAAUUAUAUAAAUUAUAUCAGCCAAAGUUUUAUCCACCUGAUUUAUGGGUCUCUUGAGCUCUUCCAAAAAUGAGCAAACUCUAAUUCUUGCUGAAUCUGAACUAAUAUAAAAAAUUCAUGUGCUAUCGCAACAUUAUCAGGAAAUUCAAGAUUUGAGAAGUUACUGAAGCACCACUAGAACAUCAAAAAACAAGUCCUAUCAUUCUCUGGCAUUUUCUUCUGAGGCCACCCCAGCUCAGGAAAUGGGUUGUUCAGAAUCUCUAUUGCACGAACUGUAAAUAAAAGAAAAAGAAACAUCUUCUCAACUCAGACAUUGUUUCAAUUUUACUAAAGUACCCAACUUUUAAAUUUAGGAUCUUAAUUCAACUAAGUUGAAACCUCCUCUCAGACGUCUCCCACUGAUAAUAAAUAAAACUGAAGCCAACACCUUUUUCUGUAAACUGUUGUCUAUUUACAGUAACUGAAAGUGCAUGAGCAAGAAUGUUUGCGAUUGCAAUUACAUGGAAUUUCAUUUUCACUACUGCAUGAGCAUAUAUGCAUGUGCACCAGUAUGCUAGUGAGCUCAUGCAAGUUCACACGCAUCUGCUUGGUUAUCUUGCAUGUACCGCUUGUUGUGUAAAUGAAUUGCUCAUUAACAAAUCCCGGUGUUUGGAGAAAAAAGAUAUUUUAACAGCCUGCUUUUAGCAUUAAGGUUUUUCACUCAACAUACUAUAUUCUAGACCUGCAAACAAUUGUCCACAAGCUUUUCAUCUGCCUAAUAACUCACAUCUGCAAUAAAGUCCAAUCCGCAAACUCUAUCAAAAUAGUGCAAACUUGAGCAUCCCACAACUUUUACGAGUACCUGGGCUUACUGAGGAUGGUAAAGAGCAUGUUAUUGGCUCAUAACCUCAUACAGAAUUAAAAUAGAUAAGGAUAAUUAUAAGCUAAUAGAAUAAGUGAAUUAUCAUCUGCAUUUUUUUCAAAAGAAACUAUCAUUUGCAUCCAGCGAUACAUGAGUAUUCUCUGAACUAAAUCAACACAUAAUUUCACAAAGGAGAUUUCACAAAGGAACUAUUGUAAUACAAAAAAAUUUCACAUGAAUAUUGAUUAGACAAGUAAUCCUUGAUCAUUCUGUUAAAAGUGGAAACUAACAUAAAAGAGGCAAACUGCCCAGGAAAGACAAUAAAAAAAAGUGGAAGAACUAAAGGGUAAAGCUUUUUAUGGACCAUUAAUGCAACUAAAUGGGUUUAAUAAAACCCUAAAAAUUAUAUUAGACUAACUGAACAACCAAUUACUCGAGAUAAUUUCCACUAGAAUAACAAAAAUUGCCAUCUUCACAAUCCUAAACAAUUUUCAAGUAUAGCCAACACCAAAAUUGAAGAAGAAGACGAAGGACACCAAAUUAUAAAAAAAACCCCUUCCACUUUACCCUUUGUCUCAACCAAGGAUUUGAGUGCCCAUCGGCACGGCCUAUCUCCAAUGUGCCAUAUCGUCCCAAUAAGAUAUCAGCAUCAUACGGCCUUCGUGUCGAUGGGAUAGCUCAAAGCGUUCUUUUUUAAAAAAUUAGUAAGUUGUUUCCUCAAUAAGUUCAAAAGAUUUGAGGAAGAUACCUAAUAAUCAAUUAGAAUAUUUUGUUGCUAAAGAAAAUAAAUAUUCGACACCAUUGUGUCGGAUACAUAUACUUUUUUUUGUGAGUGGCAUGCAUCGAUACGACACGACACGCACUAUGCCAUACCAUGCCAGCAAGUUUUCAGCACGAUCCCGUGCCACGACACUUGAAUCCUUGGUCUCAACUACCCAUGUGCAAAAAAAUUGCAUCCAUUUCAAUCCUGCACUUUAUCAUGACCUGAAAUAAGCUCAAUAAUUUUGGAUGACUAUUGAUUUUAGAUGUCAAAUUUAAUCAAAACGAAUAGGUGGAUGUUGUUGGUUAUAUUAAAUGGAGUAGAAUUACAUUUGAAUUGCAUAAAUUGAAAUAAUAAACUGCCUACUUUGGUAGCUCUAGCGAAGGUGGAGAUCUCUUUUAUUGAGUUUUUGAUCUUUUCAAAUUGUAGCUAAGACAUACAUUCACAUAAAACAAAAGCAAAAUUCCAGCUCAUUCAAGAUGAAAAUUUUGCAUUUAAAUUCUACAAUCAUCACAAAAUUUGGGCCUAUUCAAGAAAUGGUAACAUGUAGAGUGCUAAUUGAUGCAAAUUUGAAUACAAGGGGACAAUUGAGACACAGGCUAAAGUGCAAGGAUUCUUUGUAAUUUAGCCAAAACAAAGAAGUGGCACAUGCGUCAACAAGUAAAUGAAAUUUAGUACCUUCUUAUUAGUUAUAGCAGGACAAGGAAUUAAAGAAGCAACUCUUUAGCAUAAACCAGUCUAACCAGAAGAAUUCUCCAGCUCGAUGCUGAAAGGAUCAACAUCUGUGAUCACAUUAGCUGGUAUUGGGUCUCCGACUUUCCUUCCUCCUAGAUAUAAUAUGAGUUCUUCGUCAGUCGAACUCAUGUUAAUAUCUUGCAGUGUGGAGAUAGGAGUCGAAGGACACAUGACGAUUCAGACGAGAAGAAGCCUAAUAAUUAACAAGUAUAGCAAUAUUAGUACACCCCCAAAAUAGUAACUCAGCUGAACAAACAUGUUCUUUGAAGAGUAUCUUAAAUUUUCCAUUUUAAUCAUAUGUGUUUCACUCGCUAUAAUUUUUGCAUGUACUAAAUAUCCUAAUUUUCAAAUAUUUCCCUUUCUACUACAAUAUUAUAAAAGGUUCGAAUUCGUUGUUGUUUCAAAAGAAUUAACAAUACUAUCGAAAUUUUUGAAGAUGCUGCUUGAAUAAUCAAAAGAAGUCAAACUAAUAUGAAAUCAAACAAAAAGAACACAUCAAAAACACCAAGAAUCUUAAGGACUAUUAAAAAAAGAUGCAAAAGAAUACUUAAAAAAGAAAACCAUGAGAGAAAACGAUCAUAGGCUUUCCUUGCACAGCAAAUCCAACGCAAAAUAGAAGAUUUCCUCUUUCAAAAACCCUCGCUUCGAAAGAUCAGCCGAAUCGAACUAUUCACAAUAGACCUAGAAAAAAUUAGGGCUCCAAUUACCAACAAAAUCUCCAAAUUCCCUAAUCGAGACCCAACGAUUCGAAAUCGAAGAUCUCAAUCAAAUCCAAAGGAAAAGAUAUUCCUCGAACCUCUCAGCUAAAACCCCAAAUUUCCCAAUAUCCACGAACAUCAAAAGCUAAAAAAUAAAAAAUAAAAAAUAAAAAUCCUCGCAAAAUCGAGUCCAAAAAUCAAGGAAUCGAAAAACCGAUUCGAGAAUAACACAAAUCCCAUAUACAGCAUCUAGAAUCAAGAAUCAAGAAGCAGAAUCAAAAAAAACACAAAAGCAACACCUAAUCUAGAAUCAGACCUUAAAAGAGCGUAGCACGAAUCGGAGAAGAGCGAGGAAUCGCCUCGGCUCUUCGCGCCUCCACUCACACUCUCUCUCUCUCUCUCUCUCUCUCUCAAAACACGGUGAGAGGAUCGAAAUAACGAAUUGUUGGGAUAGGAGCAAAAGGUCCCUUUUAUAGCCCGCGCAACGAGAAACCGUGGCCCGGGCAUUGUCCACCACAUCACUCGUGAACGGAACCAUUAACAACUCGACACGUAGCCCUAAACUGAAUGUAGCCCCUUUUCUUGGGCCGGUUCAGUAGGCCGGUUUCAUGCGAAAAAUAUGUAGUGGGUUUAGUAUUUUUUUUAAUUUUUUAACCAGUGUUAACUUAAACCAGCACGCAGUUAAGCAGUGCUUUUAAACCUCUCCCCCUAUAUUCCGCUUUAUUUACACCACCUGCCACUCCGCCGUGAAGUUAAACGCCCGCGCCAAUGACCGUUAACAACCGUCGUUAAUGUACCGUAGCAUUGCUCUUGCUGAGCUCUUAUUCGCCAAGUAAAUUACCACAUCAGUACCUAACCAUUGCUCAUUUUCACUUUAGUCCUUAAAAUUUUAAUUUGUUAAAGUAGAAGGUUUGAGCCAUACUUCAAUUUGAAACCAAAAAAACGAAAAUUUGAUAUUAUAAUAUGCCAAAAAAUUGCUUCUAAAUUCAUCAUACAUAGAUUAAUUAAUGGAUUAUUUUCACAUAUAAAUUCUAAGUUGGCUUGGAACUAAAUUUAAAAGGUAAAAAUGUAUAGAACUUAUACGACAUUAUGGGCUAUUUUGAAUAAGGUACCUAACUUUGUAAAAUUUUGAUGUUACUAUCUAAUAUUUCGAUUUGUUUGAUUUAACUCAGCCAACGAUAUAUUAACUUCAAAAUUUUAAUCUAAUUACUUAAAGUAAAUGAUGCAUUCAAAUUUUAAAGUCAAAGUAUCGUUAAUUCACUUAAAUCAAAUAAAUUGAAAGGUUAGACGGUAAAAUUAAAAUUUUACAAGAUUAAAUAAUUAAUUUAAAAUAGUUUAUAAUUCAGAUAAAUUUUGUACUUUUUAACCAAUUUAAAAAAUAAUAAUAGUUUGAAAAUCUCGAUGUGACAAAUAUCAGGUAAUGGAUAUUAUACUGAUUUCAUGGACAAAUUAAGAAUAAUAAAUCUUUUAGCUAGAAUUAUUAUUUGUCUUAAGUCGAAUAAUAAAUAGAAUGAAAAUUAACUUUGUCCUAUUUGCUUUUCCAUCAUUUUAGUACUAGAUCUUAUAAUGCUUUUUAGCUUUAGCUUUUAUCUUUCUAAAUUAUCCAUAAAAUAUUAAUAAAUAAAAAAUAUAAAACUAAAAGAAUGAAAAAAUUAAUAGAAAAAAAAGAUCCUGAAUCAAAAUAGUAUAUUUAGAUCAUUCAAAAAGAAUCCAUCAAAUAAAAAGCAACUCAAAAAUUUGUAGAUGAAUAGAAAAACAUAGCGGUGAAUUUAAAUUGUUUUUUUUUAAGUUGAAAGUGAGAAUAAAUAAAUAAUUAAUAAUUUGUAGAUGAAUAGAAAAACAAAUUUUUUUCUAAUUAAAAUUUUUUUAUUAAAAAAUUAUUAAUUAAAUAAAUAAUGUAAAAGUAUGAACUUUAUGUUUUUUAUUUUCAUAUGUUUAACUUCUAAUUAUUUUUUUAUAUUAUUACAUUAAAAUAACUUAGAAAUUUUACUAAAUUUAACGGUAAUUUUUUAGUUUUUUAGUCAAUAAAAUUAACAUAGCUAUUAAAUUUAGUGCAAUUAUUAAUUUAGUCAAAUAAAAGAGCUCACCUAAGAUAAAUAAAAGUUUUAAAAAAUUAUUAAAUAAAAUUUUUAGAGUAGAAAAAUAUAUUACAAAAUACUCUAUGGGCAAGAAACUUUUAAUAUAUUUUCACUCAUAAAAAAAAUAUACCGAUUAGGAGAAAGAGAGAGAGUUAUAUUGGCACCAUAUUAUUAAAUAAAUAUUGAAAAACUAGGGGACCAAAGUUAUCCAUGAUCCAAAAAAAAAAAAUUUAAAAAAUCAUUAAAUAAAUAUUGAAAAAUUGAGGGGGGCCUUGGCCACCUUGGGCCUCGGUAUAGCUUCGUCCCGGAUGAGCAGCAUAUUUAGGAGGCUUAUAAAAGUCCACAUUUUUGUGUGUGUGACAGAGAAUUAAAUGAGCCACGUACAAUGGAUGUUUUUGUGUGAUAUGUGUGUUUGCGAGAGAGAGAGAGAGAGAGAGAGAGAGAGAGAGAGAGAGAGAGAGAGAGAGAGAGGCACUUUUUCAACUAAGGAAACGUGCAUGAGAGCUGUAGCUUUCACUAAUUUGCAUAUUACACUAGCUUUUAUUAUUCGCAUUAUUCAUUUUCUAUAAAUGAACUUAGCUAGAAAUAUAAAAUAAUCAGAAUGAAUAUCGAAUUUGAGACUUCGGGUAUAAAUUAUAAAAUUCUUAGCCAACUAUAUUAGAUACAGUCAGUAAAUAUUUUACAAUAUUAAAGAUUUAUUUUGAGUCUUCUUAAAUUCAAACUUUUAUUUAUUUUAAAGUUUGUUUUUAAAAAGUGUAAUCAGAAUAAGCAUUACCACAUACAAUUUUCUCUUAUAUCUAGUUCUAUUUGUUGUAUAUUGAAUGUUUUUUCUUUUUCUGUUAGACCGCGAAAUUCAUUGCUACAAAAAAUUUGGACUUCUUGCUUUCGUUACAGGUAAUGAUGGUUAAAAUUAGACAUAGAAGCAACACAUGUACAUAAUACUAUUUAGGAAUUGUUUGAUGCUUGUAGUUGUAACUAUGCUUCAAUUAUAAUAUACAGAUCUAAAUGUACAAUUUCAUUUGAUAUAUUUGAAUCAAACUGCUAAAAUUAAAACUGUACAAAAAGGCUCAAGUGCAACUAUUGGAACCAUAUUCAAACUGAGUGUAGCUCAAACUGUUGCAGUUGAAAAGAAAAUUAAGCAAAUUAAUAUAUAAGAUUACCUUAUUAAUCAUCUUUUAAGAUAGAGAUAUUGUUUUCUUCUAUAUUGGAUAACCUUACUAUCCAUCUUUAGGAUAAUAAAAUUUGUAAUAUAAAUUCACACUGAUACUUAAGUCAACAAAUUAUUUAUAAUUUUAUAUAGCACAAUCUACUAUAUAGUAUAUACAACCAAAUAUAUGUCUACUUUUAGCUAUAUGUGUCUCCUAUUAUACUACAAAUCACAAGAGUUUCUUUAAAAAAAGAAAAUUUCUUUUAGGAGCACAAACAAAUAUUAAAUACCCCCCACAUGCAAAAACCCUCUUAAAAGUGUAUAAUUUUGUCUCACAUACACACACAAAUAUGGAGAGAGAGAGAGAGUCCAAUCACUAUACUUUUAUGACUAUGAUUAUUUUUGUAUUCAUAAGUCAUUUCGAUGAUGAAAUUUUCGAAUUGAUGCAUGAUUUAUAUCGUUAAAUAUAAUUUAAAAUAUUUAAAAUUUUUAAAAAUUAAAUUUCAUAACUUUUCGACAUUAUUUGUCAUAAAAUCAAAAUACUUCCAAAUUAAUAAUUUUUAACGAUCGAUAUGGAAUGCUUGCGAGUUUAACAAUAUAAAAGAAUCAGAAUAUGUUGUUUUUUUGAUAGAAAAUUUUAUUCACUAUUUAGAUAAUGAUUAAUAACUCCGAUUUUAAAUUGAAAACUUAAAUCUUCUAUUUUUAGGAGGUCAUUUGAUUUUAAUCGUUCAUUUUAUAUCCGCUUGAUGGCCUUCAUUAUAAUUUCAAAAAAUUACAAAUUUUAUUUUCUCCAAGUUUCAAAUGCUCUUCGUUAUGUUUAAUGGUAUGAAUGGUCAAUUCAAAAACGCUAUCAUCGAAAAGGACUUAACUAUAAGUAUAAAGAAUCACGCUGUUCUCUCUGAAAUCGAGAGUCGAUUGGGCUAGCUCUUUAACUUAAUCUAGAGCCCUCAGAUCUGGAGGGGGCCGCACAAAAUACAAUACGGAAAGAACACAACUUUUAUAUAUAUACUAGUGUAGUGAUCCGCGCGUUACAGCGGGUAGAUACCGUUAAAGUAAAAAUUUAUAAAGAAUAAAAUAUCAGUUUAGUACAAAAAAUAAUAAAUAUAGUUUACACUAUAGACAAAUAAUUUUAAAAAAUAAAACUAUAAUAAAAAAGAAUUUAAUCGUUUCAACAAAAUUAUUCAACCUUGUUCAAGAAAAGUUGCAUAUCAUACAAAUGGAUGAUUAAAAUUAUUUCUAUAAUACAAUAAUCAAAUAAGAAAAAAAUGAGAAAAAAAUAAGGAAAAAAAGUAAUCAAAUGAGAAAAAAAAAAAAAUAGGCUCCACUCUUCUCCAAAUUAAGGGGGUGGAUACAUGUAGAAUUUAGUCAUAAAAAUUAAUGUAUAGAUAUAGAUAUAGAAAGAAAGAUUAUUAUAUUUUUUAAAGUACGAAAACUUUUGUACUUAUAAUUAAGUUAUUUUCGAUGAUAAAAUUUUUGAAUUCUUAUAUAUAUAUAUAGAGAGAGAGAGAGAGAGAGAGAGUAAUAUUAUUAUAUUUUUUAAAGUACGAAAAUUUUUGUACUUAUUAUUAAGUUAUUUUUUAUGAUAGAAUUUCUGAAUCAAAUUUAAAAUAUUUAAAAUUUAAAAAAUAAAAUUUAUAAUUUUUCUAAAUUAUAAUAAAUUUUAUCAAGCCGAUAAAAUCACAAUAAGUAUCUGCCAAUAAAAGGNAAAAAAAAAAAAAAAAAAAAAAAAAAAAAAAAACUUUUCCUAUCAAAAGAAGGCGCAGCAAGUCAACGUUAAGUACUUUAAAUAAGAGCCGUUAACGUUACCUAACGACGUUAGAAGGUCGUUUAUUUUUUUAAAAUUUUCUCGUUUACAAGAAUACAAGUAGCAAUUCAGUUAAACCAAAAAAAAAAAAAAAGAAAAAGGAAAAGAGCCAUUGAUGUGUCGUCAACGGACACGUGUCAACACUCGAUGCUGCAACGGCAAUGACUUUUAGUCAACGGUGGGUCCCACGCGGUAGAAACUUAUCUCCUGCACCUGGUGCACACGAACACUUCAAUGCGCCGCAGUUAAUAGUUGAUAAUUAAUAUUUUUAAAAAUAAAAAUUUAAUUAGAGAAUGCGAUUUGCACCAUCUAAAAAGGCCCCGUGGGAUACCUUCAAAGAUUACAGCGAGAUAAUAUAGUUAAAAAAAAAUUGUAUGUAUAUAUAUCAUAGUGAGUUGAUUAAACUAUUAAUUUUUAUUGUUCUAAAAAAAUUAAUAAUAAAAUAUAACUAUUAUUUGAUUUGUAAGAAUGAGGUAUCUGAAAUUUAUGAUUUUAAUAUAGGGGAAUUUUAAAUUAAUAUAAUAAAUUUAAUAGGUUAGAUUUUAAUUUUGAAACUUCGAAACUAAGAGGGCGGUGUAUGACGUAUAUUUAUACACCCGGAGCAGGUAAUUUUUCUUUAGUCCGGGCCAAUCCAGUGAAAACCUCGCCCUCCACGUAAAAUCUCCUCUGACAUCAUUAUAUUAGUGAUGACGUCACAACCGUGCGUCAGAUGGAGGAAUCACUGCAUGCAACCAGUGUAGCAUGCACCGUAUUCCUUAACUUUUGCACCAGCAUGCCUAAAAAUUGAGAUUUAAUCUAUUGAAUAUAUUUUCCGAUAAUUAAAAAGCUAUAUUUUGAAAUCAUAUAUUUUGAAUACGUAUUUAUUAUGAGUAAAAGUAUUUUCUUUUUAAUACAUGUACUGUAAAUAUUUUUUUAUGGAAAAGUAUUUUGAAUACGCAAGCAGUAUUUUUUUUAUGUAAAUAUUUUUAAAUUUUUAAUAAAGAAUCAUACUAUAUGUACCGUAAAAUAUGACUUAAAAAAAUGCUGAUAUUAUAAUAUGUUGAGGGUUUGUCUGGUUCUAACUAUAGAAAAUAGUUUUCAGUCAAAGGAAAAAGUAUUUCAAGUAGAAUAAAAAAAAGUUUGACAUUUCUGUAAUAUCUGAAUUGUCAGAAGAAAAAAAUAUUUACAAGCUGUUUUUAUGUAAAAAGUUUUAAAGUAUCUAAAAUACCUGUAUAUAAAAAGUUACAAAACAAAUUAGUAUCUAAAGUUUAUAAACUGUUAUACACAAAUCUUAUGAAUGUGGCGAGUGAAAAAGAAGCCAGAAAUUAAAUUUUGAGGCUCCUAUCAUUAUUUUUUUGGGUGGGUGUAUGAGGCGCAGUUAUACACCCGGUGCAUUCAAUAUUUUUUUUUUUGAGACGGAGGGUGUGGAAUUACUUGCUGAGCUCUACUUGUGUGAGUGGACGGCUAAGAUCGACUCCGCAAUCCAUUGACCAAGUCAAGGACACGUCGGCAAAAGAUUCCGUGUCGUGGCACUUUGUCCUCUGUAAUUUUUUUUUUUUUUUUUUUUUUUUUUUUUUUUUUUUUUUUUUUGAAGUGUGGGCGAAAUUUUUGAGAAGUGCUAAGUGGCAAGUCUCUCCAAUUAUUGUUAUUGCGGCCUGUGAAGCAACAAUUGGAUGAAGCACUUUUUUAGAGGAAUUUUUUUCCUCCCCCUUCCUUUUUUAGGUUUUUAUUUUCUAAAAUUCUCAUUUUCUUAAAAACUGUUUGAGGUGUGUAAUUAUAAUUGCACUAUAACUGUAACUAUAUACAAAUUAAAUUUAAUAUUUGGUUUGAUAUUUUUGAAUCUCACUACUGAAAUUAGAAAUUUAUUUGAAACUACACCAAUAUUAGAAGCAGUUCUAUCUACAACAAGUGGAAAGAGCAAGUUUAAACCAAAUAAAAGUUUAUCACCCAACAAGUGAAAAGAGCAAGUUUAAACCAAAUAAAUGUUUAUCACCCUAAUAACUUUUUAAAUAAUAGAGUAGAGCUACUAUACUAUCGGAAGUAUAAAGUGAUUGAUCAUUUCUAAUCAUUGGAUUAAUAUUAUUAACCAAUGAGGACCACUCAACCAUAUGAGGACUAGCUAACCCUAAGGGGACCGCUAUCAUCUCAACCGUAGAAUUUUUGAUCAAAGAACUAAAAAAUCAGAAGCACCAACUAUUUUAUGCUUCCGAUAGCAUAGUAGCUCUACACUAAAUAAUAUAUAUAUAUAUAUAUAUAUAUAUAUAUAUAUAUAUAUAUAUAUAUAUAUAGAAUUAGGCUGGAAUACUAUUAAUAGUAAAACGCUCUUUUUGCUAUCAAGUUUUUAACCCUUGGAUGAAAAAUUGUAGGGUUAGGAUGAUAUUUGUCAGUUAAAGUUCAAUGGUCCCCCUAGGGUUGACUGGUUCCCACUGGGUUAUAGUAUUUAAUUCAAUGGUUAGAAAUGAUAAAAAGAGUUGAUCCAAAGACUAAAAAACUAGUAGCAACAAUAGAAUUUUGCUAUUAAUAGUAGCCCAGUCCAAUUCUAUAUAUAUAUUAUAGAGAGAGAGAGAGGAGAGAGAGAGAGAGAGAGAGAGAGGAGAGAGAGAGAGAGAGUUGUGCUGGUAUGUUUAUGGAAGCACGGAGGCCUCCGUGCUUCCCAGUCGUUUUCGAUGUUCGGACUUUCAAAUCGACGAUCGGCUCCGUUAGAGUUGAUCUAGAGUAUUUGAAGUAUCUAGAAAAUAAUUUUUCGAUAUCAUUUGCCUAGUGAUCGAAGGGGCUCAAAAUCAAUAAUUUUAACGGCCGUGGUGAGCCGGUUGCAAGUUUAACGGUAUAGAAAUAUCCAAAUCACAUGAAAUCAUGAUAGAAAAUUCUUUACACCAUAUAAAACAAGAUCAAUAACUUUGAUCUAAAAUUUUAAUUUCAUAUCAUCAUAUUUUGUAAGAUUUUUAUUUUCAGCCGUUGAUUUUGAGCCACUUCGAUCACUAGGCAAAUGAUAUCGAGAAAUCGCAAAAUUUAUUUUCUAGAUACUUCAAAUACUCUAGAUCAAGUCUAACGGAGCAGAUCGUCGAUUCGAAAGUCCGAACAUCGAAAACAAAGUGCAAGCACGGAGCUCUCCGUGCUUCCAUAAGCAUCCUAGCCGCACUCUAUAUAUAUAUAUAUGAGUUGGACUGGACUACUAUUAGUAGCAAAAUUUUAUUGUUACUACCAGUUUUUUAGCCUUUGGAUCAACUCUUUUCAUUAUUUCUAACCAUUGGAUUAAAUACUAUAACCCAGUAGGGACUACUCAACCCUAGGGGGACCACUCAACUCUAAACGAUUAAUAUCAUCCAGACCCUACAAUUUUUCAUCCAAGGGUUAAAAACUUGAUAGCAAAAAGAGUGUUUUACUAUUAAUAGUAUUCCAGCCUAAUUCUAUAUGUAUAGUCUGGCUGGUAUAUUAUCGGUAGCACGAAAACCUUCGUGCUGCGAAGUUAUUUUCGAUGAUGCGGCUUCCAAAUCAACGAUCGGCUAUGUUAGAUUUGAUCUAUACUAUUAAAAGCAUUUAGAAAUCAAAUUUUAUAAUUUUUUGACAUCAUUUAUCUAUUAAAUGAUUAGUCUAAAAAUAAAUGACUGAAAAUGAAAAUCUUAUAAAAAAAUGAUGAUAAUGAUAAUAGACUUGAAUUUAAAAUCAAAGUUACUGAUCUUACUCUAAGUAAUAAAAAAAAAUUAUAAAAAUUUCGUCAAGUUUGGAUUAUUUUAUACCGUUAAAUUUACAAACGCAUCACAUCAGCCAUCAAAAUUGUCAUUUAAGAAAUCUUUUGAUUACCAGCCAAAUAAUGUUGAAAAAUUAUGAAGUUUAGUUUUCAAAUAUUUUCAAUAAUGUAUAUCAAGUCUAACGGAGCCGAUCGUUGAUUUGAAAGACGCAUCAUCGCAAACAAGUUGGUAGAAGGGAAGCCUUCAUGCUACCGAUAGUAUACCAACUUAGUUCUAUAUAUAUAGAGUCCGGCUGGAAUAUUAUCGAUAGCACCAAGAGUUUGGUGCUAUCGAGUUUUUUACCGUUAAAUUUAAUCAUUUGAUUAUUUUUAUCCGUUAGAUUAUACUAUUCAACCAACUACUCAUUCAACACUAAAGGACCCAUAUCAUCCUAACCGCACAUUUCUCAAACGAGUGAAGCUUUUAAAAACUUUGCCCAACACAUAAAAAUCUCCUCUGGCAUCCGCUAAUUAAGGAUGACGUCACAAUCUUGCGUAAGAUCGAGGGAUCACUGGAUGCACCCGGCUUACCGUGCACCGCAUGCCUGAAAAUUGAGAUUUAAACCAUUAAAUAUAUUUUCAGGCAAUUAAAAGCUAUAUUUGAAAUCAUAAAUUUUGAAUAUGUAUUUCUUGUGAAUUUUUUUUUAAUACAGCAAUUUUUAGAACUAUUUGACGUAAGUAUAAGAAAAUCCUAUUAAAAAACUUUAGAGAAAAUUAAAAUAUUUUAUAAUUGUUUAUAAGUAGUGGUGCUUAAGCAAUUUAGUACGUACAAGAAUAAUUUUUUUGUCUAAAAGAAUUCUAAUAAAGAUCACUACAACAGGUUACGUCAAAGAUAUUUUAAAAAAAUGCCGAUGUUACAACAUAUUAAGAAGCUGUAUGGUUCCAACUAUCAAAAAUAGUUUUCAGUCAAAAAAUAAUAUUUUAGUAGAAGAAAAAAGUUUUACGCUUUAACAUCUGAAUUGUCAGAAGAGAAGAAUUAAUUUAUAAACAAUAUUUGGAUAAAAGUGCCUAAUUUGACAGAGAUGAUCUAUAAUAUCUAGAAUACCUACAUGCAAAAAAAUGUUCAAAAAAAUCAGUAUCCGAGUUUAUAAUUAUCUUUUAUAUAUAAAUCUUAUAAGUGUCACGGAACACACGAAAUUAAUUGAAAAGAGAAAAGAAAUUAAUUUUGAAGCUUCUAUUUUAGUUUUUUUUACCCUUAGAGGUGUGGUGUAAGGCAUACUCAUACACCCGGUGCAUUCAAUUUUUUUUUUUUUUUUUUUUGAGACGGAGGGUGUGGAAUUACUUGCUUUCCUCUACUUAUGUGAAUGGACGGCUAAGAUCGACUCCGCAAUCCAUUGACCAAGUCAUAGACACGUGGGUCAAAGAUUCCGUGACGUGGCACUUUAUACCCUGUAGUAAAAAAGUGUCGGCGAGUCUCUCCAAUUAUUGUUAAUUAAUUGCCAAUGUAGGGGGCUCUUUGACUUGGCUAUGGAGUAACAAUUGGAAGAAGCACUUUUUAUGAAAAAAAAAAAAAAAAUGCUCCCUCUUCUUUUUAGGUUUUUAUGUUUUAAAUUUUCUUUUUUUUAAAAAAAACUAUUUGAUUGCGUGUAAUUAUAAUUACACUAUAAUUAUAAUUAUAUAUAAAUUCAAAUUCAGUAUUUGAUUUGAUACUUUUGGAUCCAACUACUGGAGUUGGAAUUGUCUUAGAAGUCCCAACUGCAACAGUUGGAACUGUAUGAAGAGACCCAACUGCAGUAAUUAGAAUUAUACUCAAAUCAACCACAGGUGGGGAGAAUAAUUUUAAACAAAAAAUAUGAGCUUACUUCCCUAAUAACUUUUUAAAUAAAAAAAAAAAUUACAUUGGAAAUGAUUUUACUAUCACAUAUAUAAAAUAAAAAGAAAUUUAGGAAUGUGCUCCUUAACUGUAUGCAACUAAACAAAUUAUUUAUAGAUAUAAUAUUUUNGGACAAAAAUUUUAUGGACAGCAUGUCCAAAAAAUUUUUUUUGGGGAUGCUCCGGAUGCACGCCGCGUGGCUGAGGAGCAGGCGUCCAUCUCGAGGCUCCCUAGAGGCGAUCCCAAGUUCCCAACUCCCAACUCUACGCGGGAAAUGAAAAAAAAAAAAAAAAAAAAACAUAUUCUAAUCCCCCACCCCUACCCACACCCCACCGCACCCUAAAUUUUUUCAAAAAAAAAAAAAAAAAAGCCACCAAACCUCUGGUUUUCUAGAGAGAGAGAGAGAGCGAGAGAGAAAGAAACAGAGAAGAAAAAGCCAUGGUGAGAAGAAGCUGUUGAUGAACCAUGGUGAGAAGAAGCUGUUGAUGAAGAAGCUGUUGAUGAAGAUUAAGAAAAUGGACAACACCUUGGACAAAAACCCUAAUCAAUGUAAGAACUUUUAUUACUAUUACUAUUAUUUUAAUUAUAUUGACUUUAAAAAAUGUUUGCNUUUCCACCUACAUGCAUCUUCAACUACAUUAUAUAAAAUUUUCUUAACCUAGAAAUAUUGCGCUUGCUAAAUUAGAAUGUAGGAUUUGAUUGUAAUAAUUCAAAAAAAUCGAGUUAAAAAUUAUAACAAAUUAAAAUUUGAAGACUAAAGUGUCACGCGCCUCAUAAUUUAAGGACCAAAAGUGUAAUUUACCCUUAGUAUAACUUACUUGUAUUGACAUUUCAAUAAAGAGUUAUUUGUAUUAUAUUCCUGAUAAAAUUUUGCAUAGCUGUCCCAACCAGUUAACACAACUGCCAAGGAUAAAUGGAGUACUAAAACCCAAAAGAGUUGAAACAACUCUCGGAUGGUGGUGGUGUCAAAUAUAAAUUUCAUUUUGGAAUACACAUGUCGAAUUUCUCUAGAAUAAAGAGCAUAGAUUUUUUUUUUUUUUUUUNAUUUUUUUUUUUUUUUUUUUUUUUUGCAAUUUUUUGUAAAAUCUUUUUUUUUUUUGAAAGUUCAUAUUGUAUCCGGGAUAGUUGCAAACAAACCAACAAUAACAGGUGCUUCACGAUGUCAGUUGUAGUAUCCCAAGAAUAAGAUAAACAUCUGAAAAUGUUCAGUAUGAGUGAGCUUAGCCACAUAUGAAUGCAAAAUGCUUAGGAUGUGUUUGGUUUACGCAAUCUUGCAUGUGGCGAUUGCGUGGAACUUAGAAGGCUCGACAAUUGUGAGUUCAGCAUGUUUGGCGGAUUGAGCCAUAUCAAAUGCAAAAUGUAAAUAACUGCAUCUUUGUGUCGAGCGAGUGCAGUUGUAGCCUGUUUGUUUACUGAGGAUGAAAUUUGGAUUGAAGGAGUCGUUUGGAUGAAAUAAAGUUCACAUAAUAUCAUAAAUAUUACUACUCUGGUUCCAGAUCUAUAGAACAGAAGUUUCUCAAUUCUAUUGUUCAUUUGGCAAAAAAUAAAUAACAUAAAAGCUAAAAUUUUCAUGGUUAAUAAUUUAUUUUUUUUUCCUUACUCUUUUUUUUUUUUUUUUGGUGAUCAAUUUCAAUCUGAGAUGGACCACGAUAUUUUGAUGAUUUUAAGCUUCGAUCGAAAAUAAAACUACAGUAAACUAAAAAACGUAAAUAGCAUUUACGACCGAAAAUAACAUCAUCCUCACCGCUUUCAAUAAAACAAAUAUGCCCCAAGCGGUGGCGUCAGUGCGCUCGCACCUCGGAUUACUGAAUAACCCUAACCUUCAGGACAAAAAGGUAACAAUAAUUUAUUUUUUUGGACUUCUUGAUUCUACGCAAGAAACUAUUCCAUAAAAUAUGAUGUGAAACCAAGCACAUCUUUUGGAGCUAAAAACAAUGAACAACAUAAACAGUAUAUUAUUGAAAAGAAAAGAAAUCUUACAAUGUGUAUCUUGUCGCCGUGGUUACCCCUUGGAUCGUACAAAAGAGUUUGUAUAAGAAGUACAAGUAAAAAUCAGCUCUGUUCAUAGUACAACACUUUCAAGUACAAUGGUGUCCACAAACUGCAACCAAUCAAAUAAAUAUUUGCAAAAGAAUUAUAUCUUUAAUCAAAAUCAAUAAGUUACAAAAGCUUAAUGUCCUUGUCGUUUCCGUCUCUCUAACAAAUGUCAAGCCAAAAGCUAAUUAUAAAAUGUAGGGCCACAAAGGUUCAACAAUGAUCAGAACCUUCUGGGUAACUAAGUAGUAACCUUUCUUUUCUAUGCAGAACGAUCGAAGCAUGUCGCUUUCUUUGUUUCUAGAAGUAAAUAACGAAACAUACUGGAGUUCCUUAUGUGCAAGCUUGUGGGGUAUUGCCCAUUGAUGCGGUUAGCCGGAAUUGAUUUGUGAGUAGUUAGUUUAUAAAGUUGCUGAGAACUUCAGAACACGGAGGCAAUAAAAUUUCAAUCACUUUUGAUCUGCUUUGCUGGUUGAGGAAUGUUGUAUAGUAACAAGCCUAAUACCAGUAUUGCGGUACCAACAAUGAAAGAUGUGUUUAAGCUCGUCCCUUGGGGCAUGUAAGCCAUCGGAAGAGAGAGAAUGUAGAUGGAGGUGGGCACUGAGAUGAAAAAUUAGAAAAAUAAAUAAUAAUCAGCCCCGAACAGAUAUAGUAUGAGCCUAUAACAUUUUCUGCUUUGGUAAUUAGUAGUACCAAGGACUUGAGCGUCGCGGCACAAGAUCGUACCGAAAACUUGCCGGCACGAUACAGCACAAUGUAUGCUGGGCCGUGCCGAUGCAUGCUGGGCCGUGCCGAUGCGUGCCGGUCACAAAAAAUAUAUGUGUGCCGGCACAUAAUAGUAUGAAAUAUUUUUUGUUUUUAGCAACAAAAUAUUCUACUUGUUUAUUAUAUAUCUUUAUCAAAUCUUUUGAAGUUUAUCGAAAAAAUUAUUUACUAAUUUAAAAAAUAAAGGGUUUUGAGUCGUGUGCAUCGGCACGGAAGCUAUAUCUUGUUGGUACGAUGUGGCACGGUGGAUGCGGCCCUCUGCCAAUGGGCACCUUAAUCCUUGGUUAGUAGACUGAUGUUGCGUCUCUGAUUAUUCUGUUUUAUCUUGCCUUUUCUUUUCUUUUUCACCUUUUUGUAGCAAGACCUUAAACAUGACCAAUUACUUUUCUUCUAUUUCUUCCUUCUUUCUGACGGCACUAAGGGGAGAGAGAGAGAGAGAGAGAGAGAGAGAGAGAUAACCUGCUAAGGUUGCUGCAAGAGAGGCUACUAAUGCAGACGACAUCUUCACCAGAUUAAGCAAUGAUAUGUUGAAAGCCAUAUUCAUCACAAUAAAUAGUAGAGGCAGCAAUGGAGCUCCUUCACAAUCUGAAGAAAAUGGUAUAGCUUUAAUAUGAUAGAUCCAAUGUAAAACUAGAUUCAAAGAUAAUGAACUCACAUUUAUUAACAAUUUUGCUCUUCCUCAAGGACAAAAUGAUUUAGUGAUGGGGUCAGCAGUAUAGAAGCAUAGUCCACUAAAAUAGAAAGCAAUUCUCUUAAUUCUCUUGAAGCAGUUUUAUUGGAAUAAUAUUCUUCAACAAGAAGAAAAAGAUCAUUCUAUUUAAGGGGCAAAUUCCCCCUCUCCUUGCAUGGUAAGGGAUCGAAACCUAGCUAAAAUAUUUGACGCUACUUUGAAGAGAUAAAAGCAGAAACAAUAGGUGUCAACUGUCCCAAAAACGUAUAAAGGCAUAAACAAUAGGUGUAAAAGUUAUUUAACGUCACUGAGGACAUUGGCCAUGAAAGCUUAAAAUUCAUCACAAUUUCAAGAAAGAUCAAAUCCAUGGAUUGCAAAUCAAGAUAUAAAGAUCUUUUCCCCCCGCUAUUUUCUUAUAAGAAAAGAGAAUUUGGAUCCAAAGGUCAAUGUUAUAUGAAACAGCAAAGGUUUGACAGAAGAAAGCAUUAACUUACUAAUCUUUCUACAAAAUGAUAAGAAAUGAGAUUCCACCACUACCUACCUUAAAUACUUCAAGAUAAUAUAAAAGAAAUAUCAAUUCAAAGACAUCACUACAAAGAAAGAAACUUGCCUCUCAGAUUGCCUCCCACAUUCACAAAGCAUCCAGCACCAUGUUUUACGUAUGCAGGGAGCUCAGUGAAAGGAAUUCCUCUCAAGUUAGAAAGUAAAGGAAGAAGAAGAAAAACAAAAAGAGCCUGCAAGUUCAAAGAUAAGAAAACACACAAGAAUUAUGACACAACAAAGGAAAUGUUACCGUGUGCAGAAAUACCAAGCAAACUUCAAAAUAAUGUUUGUAAUAAAAACCAAAAAUAUAUGGCAGAAAAAUUAUUAUCAAAAUGAUUAAAACUCACCUGAAACCCAGAUCCAAAGGAAUUAACGACAAAUAUGUCAAGCGGCUUUCCCUACAAGAAAAGUAUCAAAUCAGUCAAAAAUAACAAAAUAGUAAAUUAUUUUUUUUCCUUCUUUCGUUUAAAAAAGAAUCAGGAGACCACACAACUGAGAUUUCCAUUAAACAAGCUAAAAACAAUAGCAAACCUGAAGACGCUUGGCACCAUCAAUAAAAACAAACUCCUGCGAUAAGUAGCAUAUAGCUUAGAGAUUUCCUAAUCAAGAAUUGAAAUAUAAUUAUAAUAAGUUAAUAACUAUCAGCGGCUUAAACCUUGAGAAUGGAUGCACCAGCUUGAAAUGCAGACGAAAGUAUCAUGAGUGCUGGCCAAAUAAAAUCAACUUCAGAUAGAAAUUGACCCUCAUUUGCACCACUGCAGUUAAAUGACAAAAAGGCAUUAAGAGUCUUCUGAAUAUCCAUCAAUAUAUGAAAACAAGAGGUCUUAUAUGAUAACAAUAGGAGACAAAGGAAACAAAUUUCACACUGGAAACACAAUGCGCAACAGACAUUUGUGUGAAUAAGCAGUUAAUUGUUGGUCGACGGUUUCUCAAUGCUGCUUUGGGCUUGUACUUUCUUAGGCUCUUUUGUUUACUAAUGCAUUCAUGAAUCAGGACGACGACAACAAUAUAAAUAAAAGGCUACCAUUUCGCUUUGAGUGAAAGCAUCCAAAUUGGCUUAAAUCCAAAUUAUUUCCAAAAAUAUGGAAUUCAGUUCCUAGAUCAUGUUUGGCUGUAUGGGUGGUUGAUUUGGAUUGCCAAUCAUCCAAAGUUACUUGAUAGUACUGAAGCGUGAAUACGCUCAAGCACUCUAGCUUAAUUCAAUGGAGAGUUUGCUUCAUCAGCUUGUUACAUUUCGGGAAUAUUCUAUUCAAAAUAGUGAUAAUGUCAUCAUGCAACUAAUAUUGGAAGGACAAUAGGUUUAUUGGGAAGUGAUGAAAUCAUCCAAGAUUCCCAACUAACAUUAUAUUACCAUAGGCUGUCGGUUUUGAUAUUACCUAACCAGCUGGGAAGCAAGGAUAAUAUGUGAUAUUGGAAUGAGGCAGAUAAAUAAAAAAAUGUAAAUAAAAAAUAAAAAUAAUAAUGGUUCAAAGAAAUCUCCUCUAUUUUUUUUGCAGGCUGAUGAGAUUUCCUAGUAUCUCUACUCUCGAGCUUUAAUCAUUAUACAGUGCUUACUAACGUGGGAGGAAGAAGAAUGAAGUAUUUGAAUUCCAGUGCAAAAUUUAGUCUUUUAGAUGAGAAUAGGACUAUUGGCAGACCUAAAAGAAAGGAGCAGCUUACAGCCUUACGUAAGUAAACAUAUACCCAAUAAUCUCAUAGCAAUGUCACCAAAGUAAUAUAGUUUUGCUGAUUAUGUAGAACAACUUUCUAUGAUGACAAAGGACAUGUGGACACCAAUUAUGAAUUGUUUGAUCACAACAAACUAAUGGUACAAGAAAUGACACAAAUAAUAACUCGAUAAGAAAAAAGACAAUAGAACAAAGAUGAUACAUUACACUGUGCUUGAAAAGUCCAAACUAUACCUUGCUACCGCAAGAAUUACGCCAGCUGUUACAAGGAAGCAACCAAAGAUUUGGUUGAGUGAAUAUUUCCUUCCCAAAACUACUAUGGAGAAGAUAAGCUGCCAGACCAAGAAAGACUGCAACCAGACAAGGAGAAGAAGAUAAUUUUAUUAUACUUCGCACAAUCCAGCAAAUCAUAAUUGAGGAAGUUAUCACUAAUAACUGCAUUCUCUGAAGAUAAUUCCUUUUGUCCAAAAAUAAUUGAUUAAAGUCUUAAUGAUCCUCAUUAUUUUAUCCACGAAAACAAUUACUGUUUAAAAUAAUCGAGCUCAAAUUUAGUACCUGAGAUAAUAUGGGAAUGGCAGGUCCAGGAAGCAUAGCUGUAAGCACAAACACGAGGAAACACUUAAGAGCAAAACGAGCUUUAAUCUACUGGAGCAAUUGCAAUCUCAAGUUCUAGUGACCCUGUAAAAGCAAAUAUCUCAUAGACAAAAGGCAACAGGAAAAUUGCAUUAAAUUGUUUGAUAGUUUCAAUUGGGUCGCAAUUCUUGUAAAGUGGACAAGUGACAUCCUGAAGUUUCAUAAGUCCUCAAAGUAAGCCCUCUCUGUAUUCCUUUAACUUGAAUGGCUGCCAAUCUGGUGUGCUAUGUUAGCAUUGCAGCCACUCAACUAAAGCUCGGGUAGCUGCCAUGUUAGCUGAUGUCAUUCAAUUGAAGCUGAUGUGGCCUCCAUGUAAAGUUAACGUGGCUGCCACUUUAGCUUCACUAUUUCUUAAAAGGAGGCAAAGAAAUAACGUAUCAAAUUCUCAGGUGUUGCUUGUCAACUUUAAAAGAACAAGGACCAAGAGAAAACUAUCAAAAAAGUUCAGAGACCAUUAGUACAAUUUACCGAUAACAAGCAGCAAACAAACAAACAAUGCGUCAUUCAUACCUCAAAAAAUCAUGUUUGUGUUAUUUUCAGACACAGUGCAAAGAAUUAACCUUUUCCAAUGUUCUCAGAGAAAAUUCAGAGACAGGUACAGUUUAACCAUCCAUUGAUGGAAGCACUAUUGUUAUUGUAUAGCAUGGGUAUGUAUCCUGAGAAAUCCAACAUAAAAGGAAGCGUUAUGGGAUUACCUCCAGCAGACAUGCCUAAAGCAACACCAAGGGCUUCAAGAACACCAAUUGCCAUAAAACGAGUUUUUGGAAGUGCCAGCAUUUCCUUAGUUACAAUUCCAAGACGAUAUCUAACGUACAGAAUAGAAAAAUAUACUGCCACAUAUCUGCAAUGAAUUACGUCACAAUUGGCACACUUUAUAUUGAUAAAUGUAUUAGCAUGUCAAAAGAGCUCAAUGGUCUAUUCUAUAUAUCAUAGAGAAACACAUGAAGCACAACGUAUGUGCUGCAAUCAACUAUACUUCUAUAGUUGCAUCAAGCAAUGUAAAAAGAAACAUACACACGUGUACGCACACACAUGCAGAGAGAGAGAGAGAGAGAGAGAGAGAGAGAGAGAGCUUUCAAAAGUAUCUGAGUGGUGAUACUUUGCAAAACUGAUAGUAAAGCAUUUGAAUUGAUGAUUCAUCUAAAAAAUUUGAAUAUACGAUCAAUCCAAUUAGAUAUGAUCUAGUGUACUUAAAAAUUCCAGAAAUUUGAAAUUAUAGUUUUCCUAUCUCUUCUACUAAGUGGUCUUGAAAUUAAAUAGAAAAUUAAAAGUUCACGCAAGAAGAUUAUUCAAUUAGAAGCUAAGAAUAAAUCCUAUCUUGUAUUCUAAGGCACUUGUUCAAUACACAACCCUUUGCAUCCACUUGAUGAGCAAAAAUUACUUUAAAAGCCCUGAUUUAUGUUUUUAGAUUAUUCAAAUAGUCUAGCUGAUUUCGAAGCUUGGAAGUCAUGGAUCUUCAAUCCAAAUACUCUACAGAAAUUUUGAGAACUAAGAACAAGUAACAAUCAAAUACUCUUGAGAGAAGCCCAGCCUUAUAUAAGUAAACAUUUAUGUCCCAGAAAUUCGAAAUGAUAUUAGAAAUAGAAAUCAUGGGUUAAAAAUGAACUGAUUAUUACUAUUUUCAGACUUCAUGGAUUUCCCUACCUAUUCAUCUUAAGUUCUAUAAGAUACAUAAAUUAUGAUGCCAUGAUUCAUCAAUUGUUCCAAUAAGGGAAGGUUCAACUAGAAAAAGACCUAAGUAUACAAACAUAAAUUGCAUUCUCUAGGAUACAAACCCAGUAAAAACUACCUGAAUUUGUAAAAAGAGGGAUAUCCAGUUACCAAAUAAAAUUACAGCCAAUUUUUCACAUUUUAUCAGAAACACCAGGUGAAGCAGAUAGGAAACUAACAUCAUAUAUAUCACCGAUCAAUGUACAUCUCAAAUUCCACUCAUAAAUCCAUCAACCACCAAUACCAAAACAAGCACCUCAAUUUACUAGUGAAACUCACCCAAAUGUGGUGAUUUGCGCGAGAAAGAAGGGAAAAUGCUUCAUGGGAACGAGUGCAAGCUUGUAGAGAACGCGAUUCAUGACCGCUAGAAGAACCGUGACCGCGGAUCCCACCGCGAUUCCGCCAUGGAACCCCUCGGGGAGCCCCGUGCCGUCCCUCGAAGCCAUAAACGUCGCUAGAACUCGCGGCUUCGCCGAGGAUGCGCCGCCGACCCAGCUCCCUCCACCGGAGUGGCGGCGCCGACGCGGGUGCGAGGCGGAGAAGGCCAUGAGGGAGAUCCUAGGGUUUCGGACCGCGAUUCGAGCGAGGAUUUGGGGAGGAGGAGGGGAGGGGGAGGGGGAGAGGGGGAGGGAUGAGGAGAAGAGGAGAUCCAUGGGAGGGGAAACCCGUGGGACGACGAUCGAGCGGCGGGCAUAGACACGACCGCGCGCUCUCGGUCGCUUACGAACGACGCGCUCGAGGAUUCUGCAGCGUAGGUAGGAAUCUAGGAAGUGGGAAGUGAGAGAUCGUAGUUUUGUAGUCGACAGCGGGUACGACAUCGGUGCCGACUCCUGAUCGUAAGCUUGGAAUGAAAUCGUACUCUCGUAGUCGGCAACGGUGCGACAUCGGUGCCGACUCCUCGUUCAGUUUUCACCAUUUUAUUGUUAAGCUUUUUAAACUUUCUGGAAAUCAAAUUUUUAUAAUUUUUUAGCAUUAUUUGUCCAGAAUUUAAGUAGUUUCAAAAUAUUAACAAUUGCAGUGGCUAGUAUAUGGAAAAUUUGAGGCUGUUAUUGUAAAAUUGUAAAUUUUGAUUCCUACAAAAUUUAAGGGGCAAUUGCUUAUAUACUCUGGAUAAGUUUCUGAUUUUUUAAUUUACUCCUUUUAGAAGAUUAAUGUUGAAAAUACAUUUUUUACGUUUCAAUCUAUUUCCAACAUACUCCUAAAGUUAAAUUCUGUUAAUGAAUUUUUAAAAUAACUGUUAUCUCUAUGAAUUUACUAUUUUGCCCUUUCAAAUAUAUCAUUCUACUGUCACCAAUUUUUCUUAUUUGCUUUGAUACAAAAAAUAUUUUAGUUUUUGGUAUUUUCAAAAAUACCUUCUCACCAUCACCAACAUUUAUUUACCUUUAGGGUGCGUUUGGUUCGAGUUAUCCUGACAGAAUUACAGGCAAUCCUGGCAGGAUAACUGUGUUUGGUUAAUCCGCUAUAUAAUCUAGUCGUUAAUAUAGCAUUACAAAUCGAGCAGGAUUACAUCAAAAAUAUUAACGGGAGGGGGGUCGUGUAUCUUACAUUACUGAAAUCCGUUAAUACUACAUAUUAUGUAAAAUGACAAUUUUACUCUCCAACAACCCUAAAUCUAAUUAACAAUAUUAUUUUUAUCUCUCUCUUGCCUUCCCUCUCCUCUCUCUCGCACGCCGCUUUCUCUCGCUCUCUCUCUCUCACGUCUCUCUCUCUCUCUUGCGCGAGCGCACGAACACCUAUCAUCUUCUAUUGCGUCGUCCUCCCAGGUCUUCCCUCUAUUCGUCAUUUCUGCAAAAAAUAAUAUUCAAAUGACCACAACAAGAGCAAUUUUGGAAAAAACUAUACUUUUAUGUUAGGAUUACUAAAUUUUAUAAAUUGAACCAAACGUAUUAAUGCUAUAAACAUUGUAAUCUAGUAUUAUAUUACUGUAUUAAACCAAACGCGCUAAUGUAGCAUCAGUAGUAAUCUCACGUCGAAAUUCAAAAUACCUGGAUAUGUCGAGAUACUUUGUAAUAUUACAUAACUCGAACCAAACGGGCCCUUAUAGGGCAAAAGAGGCAUUUUGAUUUUUUUAACUCUAAUAGAUAUUUAACUCACGUUUAAUCCAAGUUAACUUAACAUAUGAUAACUGUAGGGGUAUUUUGAAAUAACGAAGGAACAUAUGAGUGUUAUAUUAGAAAGGAAAAAAAUAGAAGUAAAUGAGAUAUACAACUUUUAAAUUUAAAUUUAAAAAUUUAAAAAUUUAAAAGUUAUAUAUUUCAAUUUAAAAAUUUAAAUAUAAAAUUUAAAAAUUUAAAUUUAAAUAUAAUAUAAGGGAUAAUAUUAUUAUUUUCUAUUUAUAACUAUCCACUAUCCUUCUUAUUAUAUUUUAUCUAUUCAAACACUAUUUUUUUUAUUUUGAAAAAUAACUAAAUUUUCAUCUAAACGCAAAUUAAUCUAUCUCCAGAUUUAUAUCUGAACUUAUACAUAUCUCUGGAAUAAACAAUUAUUGCUUAUAUCGGAACUAAAGGAAGCCUACAGUUUAGGGGCGGCUCAUUACGAAACGUGUAACGUUUAGGGAUCUUUGUGCAUUUUUUCCAAAAAAAUUUAAACGUUAGGUCUUAGAAACUGUGACCUAACUCGAAACCCCACCGUUGCGCACUCCUCUUGCAACAGAGAAGAGGCAACAAUGGCGGCGGAGCUCUCCGAGGAGCUCAAAUCUUUCAUGGAGACGGGCAUCUACCGCUUGGAUGGAUCCAACGUCGUCUUCAUCGAUCCCGUCCGAGUCCUCAACGAGUCCUACUCCCGCUUCGCCCUCUCCCCCUCCGAUUACUACUCCCGCAGCUUCGCUCCUCCCAAAAGCGCUUUUCCAGCAGAAGCCGUUCCCAAGAAGCGGAAGCGGAAGCCGAAGCCGCACCACGAUCUCAAUGAGCGGGAACGCGUCGCGGAGAAGCGUCAUCAGGUUAUUGCUUCGUAGAUUUUUAUGUUUUCUGGUGCUCGUUGUCUCUUUUUCCUGUCUCUUAUUGAUCGAUGAUGACGAUAGGAAGCUAGGGCUUUGUUGCUGAGCGCGCACAAAGCGCUUCUUGCAGCAGCCGAUCUGUUGGGGCUUCUUCCCCAGGUAAUGGGAGGUGAGGGGUCCUCUCAUGGUGGAGAAAGAGCUGCUGAGAAGAAUUUUGUUGAGCUCGGAAACCACUGGAAAGCGCCUUUUUGUGAGAUCACCCUCGGUCUCCGAGCGUCGAACGAGGUUGAUCAAGGUAAAAAUUAAGGUAUUUGGCUGAUUUCUGGGUGGAUUUGAAGUUCUUGGGUGGAAGGGCAUGAAAUCAUUAGGUUUAAUUUUAGUUGGCACUGGUUGUGUUGUUCCUAACUGUCUAGUUAUGAAUUUGGUAGAAAUGUAUGGAGACCCCCUCAACUUUUUUUUCUUCUUUGAAAUAGAGUGCCUCUCAACUUUAACUUUUGGAUUGUCGAGCCCUGAAAUUUCGAUCUUUUUAAUGAAAUCGAGCAAUGGUUUUGUUCAAUUUGAUGGUUCUGAUCACUUUUUAGCUGUUGAAGUGUGUAAUUAAUGAUUAAUUUAACAAAAUCCUCGCCUCGAAUAAUGAGAAAAAUCCAAUUAAAGUGUAAUACAACUUGCCUAUGCAGAGAUAUGUUUGUAUUACAUGUGCUGAUCUUGGAUCCUUGAAUUUAUAUGAAUGGCAUUAUAUGGGGUUCUCUAUGCUUUACUUUAUUUCAGCAACAUUCUAAUCAUUAUUUAAUGCUAGGUUCUAGGCCUCGGCAUGAUGUUGGAAGGGCAGUUGUUUCAUUAUUUAAUAAUCUAAUCGGUAAUGAAACAAAUGAUGAUGUAGAAGCUGAAUUUCAAAAUUGCUGCUAUAUUUUACCUCGCAGAAGCUCCUUCCACAUGGUAUGAAGAUCUUGUUUUCUGUUUAAUUACUUGCAGUAAUCUACUCCUAAAUACUUUUCCUUUCUAACUUUUGGUAGAAUUUGCCCAAAACACUUUUAGGAUCCAACUUUUUGUAGCAUUCACAAAGAUUCUGUUAAAUUUACGAUUACUUUAUGAUUUCUUACUUGGUUUUUUUAUUUUUAAAUGUUGAACGUUAUGACAAAUGACAUGGAAGUCUGACUUGAGACAAAUUCGUGAUCUCGUUCCUGGUAAGUUUAAGCUCAUUUGGAAUUAUUCUGAGAUUUAGAUUUCUUGCUAAAAAGUACCAAAUAAGUUUUUCUUCUAUUUAUUUAUGGAUCUUGCCCCUUUCUUUCCCUUCAGCUCAGUCUAGUCAAGGGUUUAAUUUAAUAGUAAUUGAUCCCCCAUGGGAGAAUGGAAGUGUUCAUCAGAAAGCAGCGUGAGUUUUCUUAUGCAUCUCCUGGUAACUUGGCACAUGGAGUAAUGUUGUGCUGAUUUGUCCAAUGCAUUGAGUUAUUAGCCAACAGUAGUUCUAAUCUUCCAUUGCUGAUUUUUCAACAAGUUCAGGAAAUUAAAAGUUCUUACUGUUAAGUUGGCGAAGCCCAUAGAUUUUAAGAAGCAAUCUAUUGAAUGCCUACUUCAGUCGGUUCAAUUUGCAGAAUUUCACAGUUCUUUGAAUUCCACAGAGACCUUUUUGAACCUCCAAUAUAGAAUUCUCCUCCUCCUCCUCCUCUUCCUCCUAUGCCAGUAUAAAACUACUGUUAGCGACAGCCUUUUCUUUUAAGGUUGGUCAAUUAGCCUUUGAUUUGAUUCGUGCUCAAGUAUUUGGAUGAUCAUGGUACUGAUGAACAUCAAUAGCUGUUCCAAAAGGAUUCAGAUAUCCACGCUAAGCUUAAAAAAGGGCUUAAAUGAAAACAAAUGUAUUUUUUCCAUUCCAAACUACUAUGACAAUUUUUAGUUGAAAUGUCAAAACACUUUUAAGUCCACAAGUUACAAAAUAGUUACUGUUAUCUUGGAGCACUUAUGCUUGUCCAAUGCCAAAAAUGAGAACACAACUUUUGUGUGCUGUUUGGCUAUGGUUAUUGGCUAGCCACAUAAGUUUUCUCUAGCAGCUUCGAAGACUAUAUGUUACCUCUGACAUUCUAUUUUUCACAUUGCAUCAUUCCUUACUUUUGUUAUGCAAUAUUUAAAAGUGUGAGUGUUGUGAAAAAUCCUUGUUACAGGUACCCAACAUUACCUAACAGGUAUUUUUUUAAUCUGCCUGUUAAAGAACUUGCUCACGAGGAUGGUGCCCUUGUGGUGUUGUGGAUGACUAAUCGGGAGAAGUUGCGCAUGUUUGUUGAGAAAGAACUGCUUCCUGGUUGGGGGGUGACAGAUGUCACUCCCUUUUACUGGCUAAAGGUAAGAUGAUGCUGUGCUCUUAUUGGAUUCCACUGCUUUUUUUUCUUUCCCCUAGGCAGCAGAAAAUGUUAUUGAGCUACUUAUGAUUUUCCAAUAUGGUUGGUGAAAAUCUAAUGUUGAUAUCAAACAUGAUGUAGGUUAAACCAGAUGGUUCUUUGAUUUGUGAUUUGGACUUGUUUCAUCACAGACCAUAUGAAUGCUUCCUCAUAGGUUACAUUAAUGUGGUGAGUUUUAGUCGUUAUGAUCAAUUUAUGGCAUAUACAUUUGGCUUUCUACUUGGAUUUUCUUUACUCAGGCAGAGUUUUUUUCUUCUUUUUUUCUCCCCAGGAUGUUGAUUUCCAAUGCACAGAAAAAUUUAAGUACUUAAAAAGCAGCCAAGUCAUCAUAAGUGUUCCGGGUGCUCACUCAAGGAAGCCUCCAUUAGAAAGUAUCCUCCUAUAAUGGCUUUACUUGUUGUAAGAAAUAUAAUUGCAUAACCUCUCAGUAUCUCCCUAGAACAUUUGUGGCCAUGCAUCAACUAAGUGCACAAUGGCUGGAAAAGAUCCCUUGCUGUAUCAGCCCAACUGUGAUUUGGUCCACAUAGAACAUGAGGACCUUGAACUUUAGGUUCAUAUCAAUGGUCCUCAUAUUUGCACAAAAUUAUUUCUUAGAAACUUACACUUUUUGAUCAAGCAGUCUUUUGCAAAAAGCUAUUAAUCUAGAGUAAGAAUAUGCUAGUUCAGCAAUCCAAACAUAUUUGUAUUUUUCAUUAAAAUUAGCUUUGUUUUUAGAGGGGAAAAUUUCAUUUCUUUCUAUCUAGCGCAAACUUCUUUGUCUCUUUACCCUCCAGACCAGUUCACUCUCUCUUGUUUGAAGCAGCGUAUAUAUUCAAAAGUUUUUUAUAUAGUCUAGCUGUAGUAGUGUUCCUUGUUUCAGCCCUUAACCAUCUAAAGAAUUACUAUUGGAACAUAUACCAGGCCCCAAGCCUGCAAAAUGCAUUGAACUUUUUGCUAGAGAAUUGACGGCUGGAUGGAUCUCUUGGGGAAAUGAACCACUACGUUUUCAAGAUUCACUGUAUUUUCUGAAAAAGACAAAUAACUGGUGCUCCUAGGUACGGAAUUUUGCGCUCUGCAGAAAUUAAUUUGGCCGAGAUGCAGCUGAAAAUUAGGUCGACUCUUUUUCACUUUCUGGAGCCUACCCUGCUGUAUUUUUCUUUAUCUUGUCCUAGAUCAAUUAUUUGUUUUUGAAGAACUUCCAGAUGAACUUGUCCAUAUUUUGAGUGUAAUUUUUAGAUGUCAUACUUGAACUCCAUUAGGCUUAAGUGAGACCCUUUAAGAUGGCUUGGAUCCUAGGAUCCUGUGUCCAUUGAUGUCCAAUGUGGCUUAUUUGGUGUAAAAAGAAUCUUAUUAUGUUACUACAUUGGUCAGGAAAGGUUUUGAAUCAAAACUUGUAGGUCAAUUCAGUGCUUUUAUGUAUAGGGCAAUGUAGUGAUCCAUGAUUAGAGUUAUUCUGGAAAUUUGGUAAUGAAAAUCAUUACUCCUGUGGUUGUUUCUGUCUACUCUCUUUCCUCUGUGCUUGGAUUGGCGCCUUUUCUUCUCUCUUUAGUCACCGAAUUGGGCAUUUGCCCUUCUUUUUCCCGCUCCAUUAUGCCUUAUGUUCUCCGUCUUUGCCUCUAUUUGGUGGCUGUUGUUGCUAAAUUUUCCUGCUUUUUCUGAUCUGCUGCUGUGUUGUUAUUCAUCUUCUGUAUUGCUGCAGAAUUCAGAUCGAUCACUGAACUUUGUUAACUGUUGUCUCUUGAAAAUGAUUUCUUCUCUUAUUCAAAACAGUUUUGAAUCAUUCCUCUUUUGGGAGGUGAAAUAUUUAUAGCUCGGCAGAGUUUGACGAUGAAAUUUUUUAAUUUUGGGGGCUCUGAGCACACGCUAGGGACAUGUUUGUUUCACCGAAACUGAAUUUUGGGUUGAAGUGAACUUUGGGUUGAAGUGAAGUUCGGUAAAAAUUAUUUUUUCCCUGUUGUUUGUUUCGUAGUUGUGGAGGUGAAGUUUCAUUAGUUCUGCUGUUUGUUUGAUAGGAAGUGUAUGAUGUAAAAUUAUAAUUUAUAUAUAAAUAAUAAAUAAUUUAAUAAAUAAAAAUAAUAUAGGUAUUUUUUUUAUACAUAAAUUAUAGUAAUACAACAAUAAAAUUAUAAAGUAAAAAAUUAUUAAUACUUAAUUAAUCAAUUUCUAUCAUAUUUAAUUGUACAAACUAAAUAAAGAAAAUAUUAAAACUUAAUUAAUCAAAUUUUAUCAUAUUUUAAAUAUGCCAACUGAAUAAAAGAGUAAUUAGUACCAUAAUUAAAUAUAUUUAAAUGUAACUAUCUUUACCUAUUAUAUUAUUUUAUUAUUUUUUCUUCUCCUCCCCUCACCGUAAUUGAUUUCGGCCCACGAUGGGCGAAGUCAAGUACGCUGUUUUAGGUUAACUUGGGUUUUGACCGUAACUUUUUUACGGCGAACCAAACAACGGAAGUGAUCGUUUAUGGCGAAAACGACUUCCCCCCCUCUGCACUUCCACCCAACUUCCUCCCAAACAAACAUGCCCUAGGUUGUCUUUCAGUAAUUUUGUGAUUUCUUCUUCAAUUGAUGGCGGUUCGUGUAGGAACAAUUAAAUCCAGAUUAUUAUUGUUUUAUUUUAGUUAUAAUACUUUCUGUAAGGACUGAGAUUUUUUUUGACAGUGCAACUAAACUCUCUGUUGAUGAUGUUUAUGUGUGUAAUUUAAUUACAUAAGCACUCGUCAAGUUUCGGACGAAAAUGAGCUAAAAUGGAGAAGAUACGCGAUUUUUAGUUUUCACUUAAGUGAAUAGUAACUCCGGUUUUCCGGAGAAGCCACGGAGUAGAGUUGGCUUCUGGUGCGUAUCGGACUCCGUUCAUAUCAGUCCAAUAGCUCGUUUCUACCGGUUCAGCUGUUCUGGAACUAAUGACGCUGAUGGAUUUUGAGUUUGACGCACGGAUUUCGAUAAAAUCCAAAAAUACAUGUUUUAUAUGUAUUUGUGUGUAUGUUUCCUUCUAUUGGAAGAAGGUUGGAUUUUGUUGUGAAUCCGUGGUCGAUCGAGAUGAAUCGAAAGUGUAGCUUUGUUGUCUCCGAGGUGCUGAUCGCACUGGUGCAAUCCGUUCGCAAAUCUGACGGACGGAUCUGCGGAGAUCGCGCGUUGAUCGAGGGAGUUCGGUGGAUUGAAAACUGGUGAAUUUCGCAAAGAGUCAGCGAAUUUUAUAAUUUUAAUUACCGAAUCGCAGAGAUCAACUGGAGGUGCGCUACACGCAGAUUUACUCGCGAUGUGAAUGGAACUGGUUUAGGAAAUAACCAGUCGGCAGGACUUUGGUGCAAAGUGGCAUAUGGUGAUAUAAUAGGCUUAAGAAGGUUUCUAUGCACGAACCCUAGUUUCGGCCAACCUAUCUUCCAGCUAUGCCCAGGUAGCUUCAGCAGGCUCUUACUAGCCGUGCUCGCCGCUCCGGGCCGCUCCAGGCGUGCGAAUGCCGGCCGCCGCGUGCGACUGCUCGGCCGCGGAAAAGCCGCGUUUGCCUCUUCCUCCACCUCCCUCUCCAUCUUGCUGCCUCUUUCACUGGCAGUGACCACCUGGGGACAUCACUCGCGUCGGGCCUUCAUCUUAUUGGCUGCGGCCGACCCCGUUCAGCCUCCCCCACCAGUCGCCAAGCGGUGCUUGCUGGCUUUUAUGGCGAGCUGAGCCAUGAUCGGGCUGAGCCGUGCUGGCUUCCCUCUCUGUUGCGCUGCCGCUGCCUAGAUCGGCCGGGCCGCCCUCCCCCGAGCCCCGGGGACCUCCGCGCCGGCCCCACGGUCAGCGCACGCGCCGGAGCCGCCCAAGCUCCUGCGCGCACCUGCGAUCACCCAGGCGAGCCUGGUGCCGAUCUUGCAUGCGCGCGCCGCAUCCGCUCGCAGGCGCGGCUGCCCCGCCGUCCCUUUGCUGUCGGCGAGCUCGCGGCGUGGUUCCGGGUUACCCGAGCCACGCCUGGUCGCGCCUUGAAGCUCCUGAGCUGCCUCCUCAGACUUUGGUGCGGGCCGAGGCUGGGCUUCCCUCCAAUCCAGCUAUGUGGCACCGCCUGUGGUGGGAGCCACCACCUCCCCUCGGCUUCCUCCGCCGGUUCGUCGCCGCCCCGGACUCCUGCGGCCCGCCGCCGCGCUGCCGGGACGUCGAACCCGAGAAGAGUGGGGUGGAGGGUGCGGAUCUCCUCGGCCCUGCCACGGUUGCUCCCGCCGCCGGCGGGUACCUAGCACCUCCCGACCUCUCGACCGACUGCUUCCAUCUCGCGGCGGACCGCCCGUCUCGCCGCGGGCGGCAAACCUAGCUCCCCCCUCACUGUGAGUGUCAUUUAGCAUUCCAGCACUGCUAUAUUCCCACUUCCGGUAACUUUUCCGCUAUUCCGAAUGGUCUUGUUUGACUCGGGAAGUGAGCACAUGAUCCUUAGGUCGGUGCUGAACAUCCGUGCUCCACUUCCGCGAGCCGUCAUGAGAAGCCUUGGUUGCGCGGAGCCAACGCCGAUCUCACUCGAGUGGCGCGCUGCUCUCUCGCUUGACCUCUCGCGUCGCAUUGUGUGCCAGCACGCGGCACGUCGCCCGAUUGGCUCCGAAUGUGAGCAUGGUCUCCGUUCACCUGAAAAUCUAUUAGUCGGGUGGCGAACGUUGACCCAGCAACCUCUUAUUCCGCAAGGAUUCGUGGCCAUAAAAACUUGUCGAAAAUGCCACUAAAAGUGAUAGAUUUUAAGGUUCAUGUUGUGCUUUCUUGCUUAUAACUUCGACUCGGUCGCUGUGGACAGCGUGUUAACGCUGAGGGUAACCUCUGGACUAAUCGUCCAAGGCCCCAAGCCACUGCGGAGAUCGAAAAGCCUUGUUUGGGGCGUUUCACGGCGAAAUCCGUCGACGGAACGCGAUCUUAGUUCGGUUUUUUAUCCGACGGUGCCUCGGGAUCUGUUGUGAUGUCGCUAAGCCUUCUUGGCAGGUCACCCGUGUCGUUUCGGGUGUUCGGAAACGACGGGUGAGCGACUGGUGGGUCCCGGUGUCAAAAACGACACUUUCGGGAACCCGGUUCGAGACGUUUAGUCAACGAUGUUUGUUCCGAGGCGAAGUGUGGUGUUUGCUGCCAAUGUGGGUUAUUAUUGAGUAUUAGUGGCAGCGGUUGACUCCCAGUUGGAGUUGGGGAGUUCCGGGACGAUCAGUGGACCCCGGCGAAGCCCCGGUGCGAUAUUUGGGACAUCCGGUGUGAUUCGGCAAUCGGUCUUGGGAAACCGAUUUCCGUGGUUCCUUGUCUGGGGAUUUUAUUUUAGUUGCUGACAUUAGGGUUUCCUUCUGAUCGUGUGGACCCUUUGUAGGUCCGGUCGCUCUGUUCCCCGCCGUCGUGAGAUCUGAUCCAGACUUGUACAGGUGGGUACUUCGAUCCGACGUCGGUACAGUGGUGCACGCUCGGUGAUGGUUUCUUACCUCUGUUCUCUCGUUAUUAUCUGGCAUAUAUAUAUAUCUUGAUAUAUAGUAUUGAGCUUGCAUCCCCGUUGUUUUUAUUAUACUCUACUCAUAUGUUUCCUUGCUUAGUAUCAUGUGUAGGAGUAGAGUAGUUUAUCCAUACGUGAUCCCGGUGACCUGAUUGGUCGGUUCUCGUACUUCGUUUCGGUGACCUAGUUGAUCGGUGCUUUUAUCUUAUAUCUGUUGACCUGGUUGGUCGGUUGUUGCAUUAUGUAGUGAGUUGGUCUAUUUCUUGACUUCUGUCGUUCGAUGACCUUGAGGUCGGUGUACCCUGAGGGGUAGGAUUGUCAGCUGGUGCUGACGGUAGUUCUGGACUAUAUCGAAUACACUCCUGUGACCUAUCGGUCGGGUCUUGCGUUCGUACUUUUAGUUGACAUCGAGCAGUAUCUACAUACCAUCUUUAUUUACUCUGCCUAGUUGUUCUAUGUGUAGUAUCCUGUAUAGGGGUAGGGUAGACGACAUUCGUGUAUACUACACUUGUGACCUGGUUGGUCGGUUCUCCUAUUUGCAUCGGUGACCUGUUUGGUCGUUCGUUACUUUCCGUACAUUGACCUAUCUCGGUCGGUUCACGUUGUUACUUGAUGACCUACACGGUCGGUAUGCCCAGAGGGGCAGUGAUUGUCGGCUGAUUGCCGACGGUUGGCUAUUGAUCAUAUCCGCAUUGAUCGCCACAGCUCGAGUGCAUUUCACGUACACCAGCGGGUUGAUCCCCUGCAGGAGGGUGUUCUUUUCCGGAAAAGUGGUCGUACAUCCGACCCGUGAGCCCAGCGGUGUUCUCUUGUGCUAGGGUUACAUGCCAGGUGUGAGCAGAUAGUGGCUUUUGCCUGAGGUCCUUAGACCGACACGGCGGUUUAGAUUGGGUACGUUUGGACUUCUCGUCCGGUUGACGCAUAUAGCUAUAGUAGCGGUUGUUGCAUAUAUACUUCUAUUUCUUUCUUUACAGUUGUCUUGCUACUAUAGUUUUGAUAUCCUUGUAUGCUUGCAGUUGUACAUUACAGUAGCGGCAGUUGUGCUUUCAUAUAUAUAUCUCAUUCGUUCAUUAUCGUUGAUACUGUAUUUUACUUACCCAUACUGUUGUUUAUCUCUUCCUGAUCCGGUGAGUACUCCUCGCCUUCUUCGGCUUGCGGUACCCACUGGGAGGGGAGACAUGUUUACAUGUUCUCACCUCCCCCACUGUUUUUCAGGUAUUGCUGGCGUUGAGUUUUGGGACGAGACGUGAGGUACGUUCGUAGUGGUCGAUAGAGCUUCCGACCCAGGUUAUCGGUCUACUUUCUUACCCUUCUUAUUUUGGCUGCAUGAAUAGUUUAGUUGGUUUAUGUGGUUCAGUAUUUAUUUACAUUUGAAAAUGUGGAUUUCUGGAUUUUGUAAAAUAAAAGGUUUCUACCCCUCGUGGUAGUGUUUUUUUAAAAGAAUAAAGGUUUCUGUGUAAAAAACAGUUUUCAAAAGAUUUUUGUGGAUUUCUGUUUAAACCUUGAAUGUAAAACUGUGAUGUGAAUGGUGGAUGUAUGAAUGUAUAGUUAUUUUUAUAUUCAUCUGGUUGUGGUUGUAUCCUGGUUGUACUGUGUAUUGGAUCGACGCCGUGCAAAUACAGGGGAGACUCUGUCCGUGUGAACAGUGGAUUCCCUGUAUUUGUGGCGGAUCUGGCAUACUCUGGGGUCAGGUUUUCAAAAAAAAAUUCAGACGCUUUUCCGCUUUGUUUUAAACUGAAAAGGGACCCCGGGGCGUGACACUUUCGGGCUACAUCGCUUUGCCUUUUAGUUCUUCCUUUCCUAGUCGUCACCUCUAUGCGAUCAACUCGCCAACCCUUCAGUGACAAAGGGUUGGAACUUUCGAUUCUAAUAUGUAAAAAAUCUUUUUUAUCUGGUUUUGAUUGUGCCUUCAUAAUCCCAGGUGAGCUUGUUCUGGGUGUUCAUCUGAUUCAUAGGAGGCCGAAACUAAUGAUGGUAGUUUCGCUGGUAACACCCUCUUUUCCUAUAGGGGGCAUUCCAUUAGUAGCUUUCCAUACAUAACUUUCUUCAUUACCUCUCUUUUUGAAUGCGCAUUCUGUUCAAAUACUUCGAUAUUUUCGCGCUAUUUUCUUUUUGUAUUCUUAUUUCAAUUUUCCUGUCUCAUUCUGGUUAUUCCUUGUUUCCAAGUCGUAUUCUUCACAAAGCCCUUUAGUGGUUAUAGAUGGUCAUUUCCUAUUCUUGGUUUUGGAAAUCUUCAUUUACUUCUUGUCCAUGCCUUCAUAAUCCCAGGUGAAUGUGGUUGAAGUGUUUAUGUGAUUCGUGGGAGGCUGAAACCCAUGAUGGGAGCUUUGCUGGUAACGCCCCUGUUUCCCUGGAGGCGCUUCAUUAGUAGCUUGCCACACAUAACUCUUUCAAUCAAGACCACUGUUUUGAGUGUGCUUUCUGUCUGAAUGCUUUACUAAUUUUCUACAUUCUUCUGUUCGUGUACUUAUUUCUAAUUUCGAUUCACAUUUCACAUUAUUUCUUUUUAUUUAUAAUGGUGUGUAUUUUUGUAGCUUUGUGUUACUGUUUUAAGAGGUAUGCUAGCAAUGAGGGUGUUAAUUCCAUCUGAUUUUUGAAUUAUGAAUAGUCUACAAAGCUAUAUGGCCAUAUCGCCCGGACAAUGAGUGUCAGGAUUAGGGUUUGCCUUCUCAUUCUUCCUUUCAAGGUCAUUAUCUCCAUGCCGUCAACUGGUCAAAAGCCCUUUUGCAGCUAUAGAUGCUAGCUUCCAGUUAGGGAUGCAAACGGGGCGGAUCUGGGGGUGGGAGGGGUCUCCUACCACCCCUGCCGUUUUCUUGGCGGGUUGGGGCCGAUAUGGAGUUGGUUUUUUAUAUUUUUGCCCUCACGUAACGCUUCAUUCGGGGCGGGGCGGGGCGGGGCGGGGCGGGAGUGGAGCGGAUUUUUGGCGGAUUAAGAGGGUCUCCUGCCUCCCGCUCCAUUUUCUUAGCAGACGGUUGGAAAUGGGGCAGAUAAUUUUUUCUUUAUUUUUGGCCCUCACUUCCACAUUCUGGGCUGAUCGGGACAGGAGCUCCACGAACCCGCCACUUGCAUCCCUACUUCCGAUUGUAAUAUGCAAAACAUCUUUUUUACCAUAUUUUUUAUUGUGCUUUCAUAAUCCCAGGUGAGCUUGUUCUGGGUGUUCAUCUGAUUCAUAGGAGGCCGAAAAUAACGAUGGUAGUUUCGCUGGUAACACCCCCAUUUUCUAUGGAGGCGUUCCAUUAGUAUCUCUCCAUACAUGAGUCGCCUAAAUCAAUACGUGUCUUUUGAAUGUGCAUUUUGUUUACAUGUUUUGAUACUUUUCCUCAUUGUUCUUGUUCUUGUUUUUAUUUUCAUUUUAUACACUCAUUUUGCAAUAUUUUUCUUUCUUUAUUGUGGCAGAUAUAUUUUUGUAGCUUUAUUACUUGUAUAGGAAGCGGUCCAACUACAAAACUUCUUUUUGAUCAUAUUUUUGAUUGUGCCUUCAUAAUCCCAGGUGAGCUUGUUCUGGGUGUUCAUCUGAUUCAUAGGAGGCCAAAACUAACAAUGGUAGUUUCGCUGGUAACACCGCCAUUUUCUAUGGAGGCGUUCCAUUAGUAUCUCUCCAUACAUGAGUCUCUCAAAUCAAUACAUCUCUUUUGACUGUGCAUUUUGUUCACAUGUUUUGAUACUUUUCCUCAUUGUUCCUGUUCUGUUUUUAUUUUCAUUUUAUGCACUCAUUUUGCAGUAUUUCUCUUUCUUUAUUGUGGCGGUUAUAUUUUUGCAGCUUUAUUACUCAUAUAUGAAGCGGUCCAACUCUUGAAGCAGGGCAACUUCUUACUUCUUUCUAUGGUCGAACCUUAGCAGUGAAAUAUUUCAAAAUUUUGGUGUUGGCCAACUUCUUACUUCUUUCUAUGGUGGAACCUUAGCAGUGAAAUAUUUCAAAAUUUUGGUGUUCUUUCUAUCUGAUUUGAGGCUUAGGAAUGGCCUUGGAAGGGAAUUCUUGAACGCAUACAUUGAUGCUUGUCACAGUUUAAAUCCAAGCCGUACGAGGUUGUUGGGUAUGGGUAUCUUAGGACCCUAUAUACCCUUACACGGCAUUAUCCAAAUCUGAGUUUCGCUGUAAGGUCACCUUGUUCAGACAAUGAACAAAGUGACGUUGGUGGCUUUAGGGUUUGGGUUUGUUUGCUCAUUUUUUUUUUCCCCAAGUCAUCAUCUCGAUGUUUGAGUUGUCCUCAUAACUAAUUAAAAGCCCGACAGUAGCAAUUGAUAGUGCCUUCCGAUUAAAAUAUCUGGAAAUCUUUUUUUCUUGUUCUUGAUUGUUCUUCAUAAUGCCAGGUGAGCUUGUUUUUGAUGUACAUCUGAUUCGUAGGAGGCCGAAACGAAUGAUGGUAGAGCUUGUAAUGCCCCCUUACUGUGGAGGCAUUCCAUUAGUAGCUCGCUAUACAAAACUCUCUGCGAUGAAUACAUCUCUUUCGAAUGUGUAUUUUGUUCAAAUACUUUGAUCUUUUCGUGCAUUUGUUUUCGUAUUUCCAUUCUCCAUCCUCACUCCGCAUUAUUUAAUAUUCUUUAUUUUCAGCACAUUUUGUUUGCAGCUUUGUUACUAUUAUAGGAUUAUGAUAUAAAGCUUCCCAGUGUGGAUGCUCGGGGACUAAUUUUAGUAUCAAGAGACUGCUUUUUCUUAUAUACAGACUGCACUGUUGCAUAUUUUUGUUUACUUUGUUCCUAAUGUUAGAAAGAACUUUGUUUCUGCUUGCACUGAGAGCCUUGGCUUUGAUGUUCUCUGCAUGGAAGUUGCGGGUCUACUUCUGUUUCUUGCUUGAGUUGCUGUGUUCUAUUUAAGUUAUAUCAUCAUUGUUGUCUACUCGCUUGACUUAUGUUGAGUGAUAUGCACUGAUAAUGUAUUCUUAUGUAAUACUCCAUUUCCUGCAGGUCCUUUUAAUCCCCAACAAAGAGAUUCUGGAACAAGGACCACCACCCCCUGUACGGUGGUGGGUGUUCCCUUCCAUUGAGACCACGAAAUGACGAAUGAUUGGAAGCUCAUUCUUAGUUAUAUCUCGAGUCGUCUGCUCUGAGAGGACCAUCCACGGUCCGACAAAGAAACUAGAGAGCGUUUCUUAAUUCAUCCAUCUUUACAGCUCGCACGGUGAAAUCCUCUCUCUUACUCAUUCCAGUCAACUUUUGUAUAUUUGCUUAGAUUUGAUCGGUGCCAUUUUUUGGUAACAGCUUCUUCCUAUGCACAGGUGAUUUUUUUUUCCUGAGCAAAUAAGCGUGCAUGAAAGCAUACUGAAUAUGCUGUUGAUCUUGAGGUAAUAGUUAGUUUCUCGAGAUGAACAACUCAACGAAACUUCCCAGUUCUAUCCUUGAAAUCAAUACCUAAUAUUCUAUGGGCAAUUGGAGUUAGCAUGCACACCUGCAUAUAUAAAGCCCCACAAAUGUUAACUCUCUCUCUCUCUCUCUCUCUCUCUCUCUCUCUUUUCCAAGAACAUAGCAUAAUAUUCUGUUGGGAAAGAAAAUGUAAUUGUGUGGCGAAAAUGUACAUUGUGUAUGUAAUGAAGGGGAAGGGUUAUGUUGGAUCAGGGGUGAAUGUCGGGAGUCUCCAGGCCUUUGGAGCUCAUGGUAUUUUUCUUAGGGGUGUUUGGUCCUACGUAAAAUCAUAAAAUUUAGUUUUCUGUAAUUCGUGAAAUCAUAAAUUUUUUUUUUACAUUUUAUAGUUAUUGGUUUAUAGAAAAAAAAAAAAAAAAAAGUUUUCUAGCCGCAUUUGUUUGGUUGAAAAAAAAGAGUCUAAAUUUGUUUCGUUGGGUCAAAAAGUAAUGAAUGAAAAAUACCAUAUGUUUGAGUCUUCCUUUCUCUCUGAAAAAUAACAAAAAAUGACAACUUCAAUUUUUUAUUCCGGGAUAACUUUUGGGGGGUGGGGUUAAUGGAAUUGGGGUUGCAUUAAAGUAAUCUCACCCUAAUUCAAUUUUUUAAUAUAAAAUUUAAUUUUUAAAUUUAAAUUUAAUUUUUAAAUUUUUGUUUGUAAGCUUAAAAUUGAGACAUAUAAUUUUAAAUUAUUAAUUGAAAAUUUAAAAUUAUUAUUUUAAAAUUUUAAAUUUAAAACUUGAUUUUUGAUAUUUUUAAAAUUUAAAUUUAAUCUUAAAUUUAAAAUUUAGAAUUUUCAAUUUUAGAAUUUGAGAUUUAAAAAAUUAAUUUUUAUUUUAAUUUUUUAAUUUUUAAAGUUAUAUAUUUAAAUUUAAAAUUUUAAUUAUAAAAUUUAAAUAUUUAAAUUCAAAUAUAAAGUUGUUUUUUAUUUAUAGGUAUUUACUAUUCUUUUUAUUCUAUUUUAUUUAUCCAAAUGCUUAUCAUCCAAAUACAAAAUUGGUCUAUUUCAGGCUUAAUUCUAAACUUAAUUUAAUUUCUGAAAUAACAAGUUCUUACUUAACUCCGAAUCAAACGAAACCAGACGGCCAAAUUUUAAACAGAAUUAAUUAAUAAGAGUAAUUUAGAUAUUUUUAUGAAAUUAAAAAGAUAUUUUUGAUAUAGGGAUAUUUAUCUAAUUUAGGGUUAGCGAAGGGUGCUUAGAAAAUUAACACUAUUUUUAAAUGGUGCAUUAUAGUUUAUAAUUUAAAAUUUCAAUAUUGUGUAAUAUUGGAGUUUUUCGAUUUUUUGUAUUGACACUUUUUGGUUAUUCUCGUGUAAAAUAUUUUUUUUAGAAAAUAAAUUUAUGAAUAUUUAAAAACUAAACACAGUAAUAAAAAAUAGUCUACGCUAAGAUUUUAAAUGCCUGUCGGCACGGGCCGUAUUUACCGUGCCGUACUGUGCUAACAAGAUAUCGACACGAUAUAGACCCCGUACUGAUGGUACAGCUCAAAACUCUCUAUUCUUUAAAUUAGUAAGUAAUUUUCUCAAUAAAGUUCAAAGACGUUAUAAAAAGAUAUAAUAAAUGGUUAGAAUAUUUUGUUGUUAAAGAAAAUAAAUAUUUCAUGCUAUUAUGUGUCAGUACAUAAGAAUUUUUUUGACCGGCACGCAUCGGCACGGCUCGGCACGUACCGUGCCGAUAAGUUUCCGGCACGACCCCGUGCCACGACACUUAAAUCCUUGGUCUAUGCAAUACCUCUUUAAACAGAGUAAUGAAGAUAUAAAUAGUAUAACAAAAGUAUAAAUAGUAUAGUAGUUUAAUAAAAACAAUAUAAAAAAAUAAAAAAUUUUAAUGUAUAUUUUAUAUGUAUUUUGUAUAGGCGAUUUAUUUAGUAAGGUUCAUAAAAGAAAGGGAUCGAUUCUAUAAAAUUUCAAAGAAAUAAAUUAAUUUGUAAAAUUGUAAAAUUAAUUUAAUUUUUUAUGCAAAAGAGACCUAUAAUUUUUUUUUAAAAAAAGAGUCCAAAAGUACAAUGUUUUCUAGUGCUAUUGAGUCUUUACAAAUGCAACAAUGUCUCUUCUGGGAAAAAGUAGUUUAAAAUCUAGCCCCUCUUCUUCUUUUUUUUUUUUUGUUUGUUCUCCUGUUAAUAAUUUCAAUUUGAUAAAAUUAUACAGAAUUUAUUUAAAUUAUAGUUAAGUUAGUUAUUUAAUCUUUUAAAUUUGUGAUACUACUGUUUAAUUUUUUAAUUUAUUUGAUUUGCGUCACUCAACAGUAGUUUAAUUUUAAAAUUUAAAUUUAUUAUUUAUUUUUAUAAAUUUAAUUAAUAUAUUUCAUACAAUCGGUGCAAUGAUAAAUUUAUUAUAAUAAGCAAGUAGUUUAAAUUUUAAAGUUAAAAUAUUAUUGACUGAUUCAAAUUAAGUAAUUAAAUACUCGGAUAGUAAAUUAAAGUUUUAAAAAUUGAAUCAAAAAAAUUUACAGUUUACAUAAGUUUUGUAUAUUUUUAUUUUUAAAUUUUAUGUUUUUUUUUUUAACUCCCCCAUUAUAUCUUUUGCGCAAUGCUCACGGUCAAACCAAGGACGAGGGCCCACCACCACCACCGCACCUGUCACGCUGCAAAAAAUAAUUUUUUUUUUUUUAAAAAGCAUAAUUAAAGAGGAGGGGAUUUUAGACUGCCUCAAAAUUCGUGAACUGGAUCUGAGAAUAAGACGACAAAUGGCGCCACUGUUCCGAGGACUAGAAACAGAAGGGCAUUUCCGUCAUUCUCUCGCAUGUUGCUACUCCGCUGUUGCACAUUGCGUCAUCUCCUCAAAACGACGAGCACGGAGUCCGAGGAGGGAGAAAUGUGUAAAGUUGCAUUACUUGUCCUGAAACUUUACAUUUUGAUCCUCACACUUUUCACUUCGCGACAUUAGUAGUUUGUAAAUUCUUAAAAUUAUUUUAUUUCAGUCCUUAUAUAUAUAUAUAUAUAUAUAUAUAGAGAGAGAGAGAGAGAGAGAGAGAGAGUAGAACUAGAAUACUUCGAAAAACACCGAGUGGGUGGUGCUUUAGAGUUUUUAGCUCUUGGAUGGAGAAAUGUGAGGUUGAGAUGAUGGUAAUAGGUGAUGGUAGGUGGAAUAAUAUUUGAUCCAAGAAAUAUUAGUAAUUAUGGAGUGGAUCCAAGGGUUAGAAACUUAAAAGCACCAACUGGAUGGUGCUUCUAAAAAUAUCCUAGCUCAACUCAUAUAUAUAUAUAUAUAUAUAGAGUGAGCUGGUAUGCUUCUGGAAGCAUGGAGCCUUCCGUGCUUCCAAAUCGUUUUUGAUGUUGGGACUUUCGAAUCAACGAUCGGCUCCGUUAAACUUGAUCUAAAAUAUUUGAAGUACUUAAAAAAUAAAUUUUGUAAAUUUUCGAUAUCAUUUGCCAAGUGAUCGAAGGGGCUCAAAAUCAAUAAUUUUAAUAGCCGUGGUGAGCCGUUUGCAAAUUUAACGGUGUAGAAAUAUUCAAAUCACGUGAAAUUUUGAUAGAAAAUUCUUUAUACUAUAUAAAACAAGAUUAAUAUUUUUUAUCUAAAAUUUUAAUGUCAUAUCAUUAUAUUUUGUAAGAUUUUUAUUUUCAGCCGCUGAUUUUGAGUCAUUUCGAUCAUUAGGCAAUUGAUAUAAAAAAAUCACAAAAUUUAUUUAUAUAGAAGAUACAUUAUUUGCUACACCCAGUGUAUCUGCAUAUUUAUUUACCAUAAAUUUAUUAGCUCUUUUGCAACUUAUAUUUCGAAAAUUUCGCUCAUUAAGUUAAUUUUUAUUUUCUAUAUAAAAAAACUAGAUUGUUGGAUUAAAAUAAGAGUUGAGUGAAAACUGAUGUAUAUUUAUUAGUACACAGAUAUAUAGAUGAAAUUAAGGCAAGCAAUAAUUUUAACUCUAAAAUAAAAAUUAAGAUAUAAUAUAAUUAAAAUUUUAGGAGCUAAGAUGAUGUCUUAUUGAAAGUUUAGCAUAUACGAUUGUCGAAAUCAAAAUAAAAAUUUAAUGUUAAUUUAGGAAUUCAAGAAGAUAAAUAAGAGAAAUAUACUAUUCUACCCAAUUAUAAAUAUCAAAAUUUUUUAAAAAUUAAAAAAUAACUUUUAAAUUUUACGUAUCAAAAGAAUAUUUAUAUAUUUUUUGAGAGAAAGAUAAUAUGCUAUCCAUAUAAUUUAAUAACUUACUUAAUAUAAAUAUUACUGACCGUCCCUAAUACAAGUGAUAAAGAAUUUGAUGAUUGGUAUCCGAAAUUUCAAGUUCGAAUUCUAAUUAAUUCACAUUUCUAGCUAAGUUUUAUAUUAAAUAAUUUAUUUGGAUAUCUAAGCAGUCUCUAACAAUGAGGCAUGAGUUGUCGGAGCAGUGGAUGAAACUUUCGCCGGACUGACUCAACUGUAGUGUAGUAGUUUUUUUUUUUUUUUUUUUUUUUUUUUUUUUUUUUCUGGUGCCUUCUCGCCCCUUCCGAGGCCUUGUUGCCUCACCCAUAUAGCUUAAUUCAUAUUUUUACUGAAUGAAGAGGGUAGCGUGCUACCCUUCUCUCAAAAAAACAAUGAGGCAUGUAUAUAAUGCGGACGUGUACACCGGGUGUAUGCAAGAUUUUCUCGUCCCAAAGAAAGAGGAGAGAUAAGGAAAGGGCCCUCUCCCUUCGGGUCAGAGAAUAGGGAAUCGAUUCCAUCAAGUUGUAGUUACAACAACAAAAAAAAAUUUAAAAAUAAAUUACACAUGUGGUCCUCAAUCUAUGAAAGGCAUAAUAUUUUGAUACUGAAAUUUUAAUUUAUUAUUAUUUUUAUUUAAAAUUUUGAAAUUGUUAUAAUUAAUUUUUAUAGUUUAAUUUAAUUGAUUAAAUUUUGAUAAAUUAUUGAUAUAGAAAUAAUAUGAAAGUUGAUUGUCAAUAUUUCACCGACUAAUUAGGUUAUUAAAUUUUAUUAUAAUAAUUCAGAAAGUUCUAGGUAAAAAAUUAUAAUAAAUUAAAAUUUAAGGUCCAGGACACCCCUGUAAUUUAAGAAUCAAAAGCUUAGCUACGAUUUGGUUCGGGGUUAAGAAAAAACUAGUUAUUCCAGGAAUUGGGUUAAGUUCAGGGUUAAGGUGAGGUUAGAGUAUUUUUGUGUUUGGUUGAGAAUUGGAGUUAGUUCAGGAUUAACGAAAAUAAUGUUUGGUUGGAGUAGGUGGAAUAAGAAGGAUAGUGAGUAAAAUAGUGUUUUCUUUAGUUGGAGUAGUGGAGUGGGGUGGGAUUAACUGGGGUUAGCUAACCCCACUUCAAAUGGGCUACCCCGGAUUAACCUAUUUGGGGUGGGGUUAGCUAACCCCAGCUAACCCAAUCCCCUAAAAUCAUGUUUGGAAAUAAAACCGGGGUUAAGGGGUUAUCCCACCCCUUAACCCCGAACCAAACAUAAGCUGGCAUCGUUUGGUUCGGGGAUAAGAAAAAAGUGGCUAUUCCAGAAAUAGGUAUAAAUUGAGAUAUAAGCGGGAAUAGCAUCAAUUUUGCGUUUGGAUGAAAAUUAGGUUAUUCCUAGAAUAAAAAAAAUAGCGUUUGGUUAGAUAAGAUGGAAUAAAAAAGAUAAUGGGUUUUGUAAAUAAAAAAUAAUGAUAUUAUCCACUUAUUAUAUUUGAAUUUGAAUUUUUAAAUUUUUAAAUUUAUAUUUCUAAAUUUAAAAUUUUAACUUUGAAAUUUAAAAUCUCAAAUUUUAAAUUCAAAAUUUUAAAUUUUAAAUUUCAAACUUUAAAUUUAAGAUCAUAUUUAAAUUUAAAAAAUAUAAAAUAUCAAAUUUUAAAUUUCAAAAAUUUAAAAUAUCAAAAUUUAAAUUUAAAAUUUAAAAUUUAUAAUUUAAAUUUUAAACUUUAAUUUUGAGAUUAUAAAUUAUAAAUUUUAAAAAUUUAAAUUUUUAAUUUUUAAAAUUUUAAAAUAAGAAUAGGGGUGGGAACAAUUAAUAAAAAUAAUUUAUUAUAAUAAAUUUAUAAAUUUUUUUAAAAUUCUACUUAAACUUAAAUUUAAUAAAAAUAAUUUAUUAUAAUAUUUAAAUAUAAUUUAUUAUAAAUUUUAUUAUAAUAUUUAAAUAUAAAUAAUAUGUAUUAAUAUAGUAUAAUUAAUAAUUUUGUAAUAAAAAUAAUAUAUUAUAAUAUAUAACAUAUUAUAUUUAUAUAAUUUAGUUUAAUUCAAUUUAUAAUUUUAAUUAAGUUUGAAAUUAAGCAUUGGAAUAGCACUAUUCCACCAAAAUGGUGGAAUAGCAAAUCUCUUGCUAUUCCUGGAUAACCGGGAAUAGCAAGGUUUGACCGGGAUAAAAUAUCCCGGCCAAAUUUCACCCCGUUUGGCGGAAUAGCCGGGAUAACUUUCGUUAUCCCCGCUUAUCCCGCGAUCCAAACGGGGCCUAUUAAUAAGGAUUAAUUGCACAUUUGGUCCCGAUACUAUGGGCCUAGUGAUAUUUUGGUUCUUAAAUUUUAGUUUGUUAUAAUUUCUGUUUUGAACAUUCAGAAUUACUAUAAGCAAGUCCUAUAAUAUAAUUUAGUUGGUUAAAUAUUAAUAUUAACCACAAUAUAAAAAUAACGUAAUAGUGUUAUAAUUGAUGAUGGGCCAAUAUUAAAAUGCCGCAUCAUUUUUACACCCGCAAUGUGUUUAUAUUUAAUCAACAACUAAAUUGGAAGGUGAGAUUUGAUUGCAAUAAUUCUGAAAAUAGUUGGAGCCAGAAAUGAUAAUAAAUUAGAGUUUAAAGACCAAAGCGCCACCAACUCAUAGUUUGAGGCCUAAAGAUGCAAAAUUACCCAAAGAGCUUAAUUUAUCCCAGAACUAACUAAAGAAAACGCACCCGUGUUCGCUUCGCACUUUUUUUCUGUGGGUAGAUGAGGUAGAGAGAGAAUAGAGAGGGGAGAGAGUAGAGAAUAAUAGAGAGGGGGAUGAGAGGGGGAGGGGGUCGGGUGGCGACGUGGAGGGAGAGGGAGAACAACAAGCGGCGGGAGCGGCGGCGGCGGGCGAUCGCGGCGAAGAUAUUCGCGGGGCUGCGGGCGCACGGAAGCUACGCGCUGCCUGCCAACCACUCCGACAACAACGAACUCCUCAAGGCCCUCUGCCGCCAGGCCGGAUGGACCGUCCUCGACGACGGCACCACCUUCCGCACCACCAACGUUGCUUUUCAUUCCCUCCCAUUUUAAAUUAUGUAUAGUUUGAUUAAUUAAAAUAACAAAUUUAUACCCAUCCAUCCCUUGAAAUUACCUCACCCUUUUCUUCGUCUUCUGCUUCUUCUUCUUCGACCUUUGCCGACAGGGAUGCGAACCACCACCGCCUCCGGAGCAAAUCGCCGCCACCGCCCCCCCGUCGACGACGAUGAGCCCCUGCUGCUCUCUACCACGCCACCCCCUCCUCCUCCUCCUCCUUCCCCAGCCCUACCCGCCCCGAGAACCCUAACCCUAGCUCGGUCGUGAACCCCGCCUUCCUCCUCCCCUUCCUCCGCAACCUCUCCUCCCUCCCCCCGCUCCGCAUCUCCAGCAGCGCCCCCGCCACCCCCCCGCUCUCCUCCCCCACCGCCGCCGCCGCCGCGAGAGCCCCACCCGCCGCCGCCGCCCCCGGCGCGACGAGCCCGACGCCUCCGCCGUCGACUUCAGGCUCUGGGGCGGCGCCCUCUCCACCGCCCCCGCGUCCCCCACCUUCAACCUCGUCCACACCGCUCCGGCGGUGGGGGUCGGGGAGUUGGAGCGCGGGGAAGGGAGGGUGGUGAAGCCGUGGGAGGGGGAGAAGAUCCACGAGGUCGGAGUCGACGAGCUCGAGCUCACUUUGGGAGUGGGUCGAAAUGGUGGUGGUGGUGGUGAUUGUGCCUCAAAUUUUGAGGGAUUUUUCGUAUUAUGAUUUACUUCUCUCGUUUUGAUCAGAAAAUUUUUGGUUCUACUGCUUGUGUUGUGUUUCUUCUAACUUUCGUGGGGGAUUGAAGGGGGAAAUUCUUUCAUUGGAUUGGGCACAUUGAUGAGGGGAGAGAGAGUUGUCACGUUUGCCAGGUCGGAAGAGGUUGCAGCUUGCAAGAUUCCAAUUGUACGCCCGAUCUCUACUCCACUGCAGUAGGAGAUGAAGGCGCGCUCUCAUAUUAUACACGAAGUAGGCACUGAUGUUUAUAGAUUGUACGCUUUCAAACCGCUCGAUGUUUACUGAUUGUACGCUUUCAAACUGCUUGGAUGUUUACGAACUGCUCGAUGUUUACAGAUUGUACGCUUUCAAACUGCUCGAUGUUUACAGAUUGUACGCUUUCAAGCUGCUCGAUGCUUACAGAUUGUACGCUUUCAAACUGCUCGAUGUUUACAAACUGCUCGCUGUUUACAGAUUGUAAGCUUUCAAACUGCUCUAUGUUUACAGAUUGUACGCUUUUGAUCUUCAAAUUUUGCCCCCUCAAUUCGACAGAGAUGAGGGACUUUGUUGUCGGAGAUCUGGCGAAAUGAACACGGCUUUAAGAUUACAUCUUACCUUAUUAUGUAGUUAGCAAUUUUUAUUGGUUGCUUCUAAAUUAUGAGAAAGCAUGAGGUGGAGGUAAUUAAGCUUUCAAAGUUCUCGUUUCUCCUUGCAUUGCAUUCUAUAGAAGAUUUUAGUAAACUUGAUCCGGUUUCCAUAAUUAUUGGAUGUACUUCAUUUAUGAUUGCAUUGAUAUGAAGCUGUUAUUAUGGCAUUGAUUUAUCACUUCAUCAAUGGCUGGGGCAAAUUAUGAAUUUAUGAUGGAAUUUUAAUUGAACUGUUCCUUCAAAAUCAAUAUUUAAGUUUUUCGCCAAUUUUUUCUUAAUGAAAUUACGAGUGUUGAUUUAGCCGCCAAGCCCUAUCUUAAUACUGCUAAUACUUGAUUAUAAGAUCAUUACAUCAUUUCUAAAUAGCAAUGGAUCAAUUAUAAAUGUCCCCUAAAAACAGUGUUAAAUACAACACCAAAUGGGGAAAAAAAAUCUGUACUUUUAUAUAUUUUUUUUUUUCCUUUUUUGAGAGAUAGGUAGCACGUUAUCCGCUUCGUUUAUUUUAUUUAGAAAUAAACUUAGCUAGAAAUGUGAAUCAACUAGGAUUCGAACUUGGGUCUCAGGUUUCAAUCAUUUGCCACUUGUUCUAGGGACGGUCGGUAAAUCUGUACUUUUAUAUCAAUUAAGGAUUUUGUUGUAAUUAAAUAGGAUCCUUGUGUGGAUGCGUGAAUAUCUUACAAAUAAAUUUAGGGCCUGAUAAAGGGGCAUAUGAUCAUUUCCUUAGGCAUGUUUGGUUUGAAUUAUUCUGUCAGAAUUACAGGUAAUGUUAGGAUUAUUAUGUUUGGUUCCUCCAAUCUGCAAUUUAGUCGGUAAUAUAACAUUACAAUGAUGCAAGAUUAUUUCAAAGAGUUGGUAUUUCGUAUUACUGAUGGCAGGUUAUCUUACAUGCUAUAUAAAGUUGUAAGUUUACUCUUCCAAACCUCUCUCCUUCCAAAAAAGAAAAAAAAAUUUCUUUCAACAUGUCAUUUUUAUCUCUCUUUUCUCUUUCUCUUUCUAUCUUCGCACGAACCCUUCUCUCCUACCAAUCUUAUCUUAGCCAAGCGCUGAUCGCCGCCACCUCAACACCCUCUUAGUCAGAAAUCUCAGUUGUAUAAUUAUGUCGUAAUAACGUGUAAUGCUACAUAAUCCGAACUAAACUCGCCCUUAGAGGCAUAUCAAAUCCUGAGCAUAAUAAAUGUUGUUAGUUGAUGGGUUCCCAACCUCCCCUCCAGAUCUCCAUUGGAGAGGGAGUUGCCUUGGUGUGGGUCAUGGACACAUUAGGGGUUUGAGGGGCCACAUUCCAUGUGAGGGUUCUCUGCGUUAGGUGUUUGUACAACAGGCAAUGUCCAAUCCUUACAAUUAUAUAAGGUCCAGGGCACAUCCAUUCAAAUGCUGCAGCACAAAUGCACUCCCAUACAAUUAUAUUUGGGCCCAUCGAGAGUAACACAUCAGCUAAAUAGGCUCUGCUCUGUGUGAUGCGCACAGUGUCUAGCAGAAACCUGCAAGUGGUUUGCAGAGUUUGACAGUGGACUCUGCUUUAUUUGAAAUCCUGCCAUUGUGAGAUCAUUAAAACUUAACAUGAAGUGCUCUCUUCGACGUUAAAAGCUGCCAUGUAGGGCUGCACGUAUCUCAAACUGUGCACGUCAUUAAAGACCGUCAGAUCAGCCACGUGAUGUUGUGCGAGAAAUUAUUUUAAACCUAUAAAAUCUAUUGAUUUGAUGCAAAAAAAAAAAAAAAAAAAAAAAAAAAACUAUUGCUGCAAAUUGGGCAUUAAAAGUUUGAUUUCAAGUAAAAAUCACUUUACUAGGUUUAAUUUGAUCCAAGACCAAGAACCUAAUUUUGGCCCAUGAAGUUUAAUUGGUGCAAGGCCUACUAUUAAUGUUAGAUAAUUACUCAGUUUGGACAAAAUUAAGCUUACACUGGUGAUAGGAUCGCACAUUUUGCAGAGGGACAUUUCCAAUCAAAUGCACAAAAUAAGAAGGUGAUUUUUUUAGGAUCCAUUUGGUUGGAUUUAAUUAGAAAGGAUAAUUGCUUGUAUACCUGUCAAAACUUCAAAAGUAUUUUAUUUACCCGUACUUUUUUUUUUCUUUUUAAUAUACCCCUCAUAUGUUCCUCCAUUAUUUCAAAAUAUCCGUACAGUUAUCACCCGUUAAGUUAAUUUGGGUUAAACGUAAGUUAAAUAUCUACUAUAAUUAAAAAAAUCAAAAUGCCUAUAUUGCCCUUAACUGAAGGGUAAAUAAAAAAUAUUAAUGAUGGUAGAAGGAUAUAUUUAAAAAAAUAAAAAAUCAAAAUACUUUUUGCACCCCUAACUUACGGGCAAAUAAGAAAAGUCGGUGAUGGUGGAAGGGCAUAUUUGAAUGGACAAAAUAGUUUUUUCAUACAGAUAAUAACUAUUGCUAUCAGUUCAUUAACGGAAUUUAACUCUAGGAGUAUAUUUGAAAUAGUUGGAACGUAAAAAUAGUAUUUUCAAUAUUAGCUUUCUAAGAGGAGUAAAUCAAAAAGUCAAAAUUUUUUCAGGAGUAUAUAAGCAAUUACCCUUAAUUAGAAAUAUGGUAUAGUAGAAAUAAUAUGCAAUUGAAAAUACAACAGUUAUAACUACAUGCAUUUUGUUUGGUUUGAUGAUACAGUCACACAUUUCGCAAAGAGACAUUUCCAAGCAAAUGCCCAAAAUAAAAAGUCGAUAUAUUUAGGGGCCGUUGGUUGGAUGUAAUUAAAAAUACAAUGUAGUUUAAAAUAUAUGCAGUUGGAAAUGCAACAGUAACAACUACAUGCAUUUUGUUUGGUUUGUGCAAUAGAAAAUAUUAUAACGGUAAAUAAUUUGUUUAGUUUCAUACUGUUGAGAAGUACAUUUUUAAAAUUUUAUUAUUUUAUAUAUAUAUUAAGUGGUGAGAUUAUCUUUAAUAUAGAGAAAAAAUUACUUUUUGCUUAAAAAGUAAUUAGAAAGGUAAACUUAUCUUUGUUUAAAUUUACUUUCUUCUGUUGCUGCAAUUGGAACUACUAUCAAUUCGGACAUAAUUCCAAUUGUUGUAAUUGGGCCUUUUAUACAGUCCCAAUUACAGUAGUAGAGUUCAAAUAUAUCAAACCAAACACUAAAUUUUACUAUGCAUGUAAUUACAACUGUAAUACAGCUGUAACUAUAUGCAAUCAAACAGCUCCUUAGGCUUAGUUUGGUAUUGAGGCCUAUCUCUAAUGUUAUUAGAUAGAAUGGAGUUGAGGAAAAGCAUAUAGGAAUAUGCUUCUGUGUUCUCCGAUGGAACCGCAAAAAAUAUAUCGUAACCGACUCAUCGUGAUAUGCGGAACGCAAUAUUACGUACGGAAAUAAACAUGAUAUUUUUUCAACAUACUUUUUCACCGCACGUAACGCAAUCUCCCCGCAAUCCCAAACGAAGCCUUAGUACAGAAACUACAUUUGCAAAUUAA